RNAcentral lists this long non-coding RNA (54135 nucleotides) under Arabidopsis lyrata. RNAcentral's name for it is "long non-coding RNA (ALYR_LNC003328)". The record is from RNAcentral. Lineage: Eukaryota; Viridiplantae; Streptophyta; Magnoliopsida; Brassicales; Brassicaceae.
UCCUUUAGUUUGAAUAUAAUGCAGCUUAAUAAGGGUUUCUUCGGCUCCCAUGAAAACGUAUGAUGUGCCUUUUUUUUUUUUCGUCUGAAAGAUUAUAUAUCACGGGUGAAAUACGUUGUCGGAAUACAAAGGCCGGCGGGAAUUUAACCCCCAGAAACUAAGCCGGCGGGACUCUAACCCCCAGAAACUGAGCCCCAAACACGGGGAGACAAACAAAAGAGAAAAACUAAAACUGAAAAUAUCUAAACAUGAUUAAAAUGAUUUAACACAGAGAUACAAAUUCCUUAUUAUCCGAGCCAAUCGAAAUCGCAAAACUAGCUGGAAGUCGACGAAGGAGCUGACCACCACCCAGAAAGUCUCCUAUCUACAAGCCUCACUUGUUAAUUAAGAGUAUUCGGAAGAAAAACCUUGGGAUACCUUGGAUGGCGGGACGGUGGAACCUUGGCCAAACUUGCAAAGACCGUCGGAAUCGCCGGGCCGGGAAUGUCAACUAAUGGACGUGAACCGGUAUAAGGACCCAAACCUAGGCGGAUCUCGCCCUAGAUCCGUUUGUUGAAGCUGUGUGAGAAAACCUGAGAAUUAGGUCGCCCAAACCGAAUCACCACCACACCGACAGUGGGUGGCUUAGAGCCAUCGCGGUUAGGGCCAGGGAGAACUCUGGCAAAUAAGAAAUAAGAACCUGCAAUAAAAACCAAGCAACCAAACCCUAGAUCUGAAAAGAGAGAAAUCUGAGAAGGAAACGAAAAACGAAACCAAUCCCCAGAUCUCUCCACACACAAACCCAGAACUAGUUAACUAAACAAAAGCUGAAAAGCCAACCGACGCCGUGGCCAUGGUGGCCCACACGCGCCGGUCGGAGACACAAAACCAGCGGCGAGUUUGUUGAAGAGAGAAGGGUGUUGUUGUACUCUUAAUAUCCAAAAUUUAUGUGAUUUUGACCCGACGUAUGAUGUGCUUUAGUCCAAAACUUUUCAAACAAAAACCAAAAAAGAUAAAAUUAUAGAAUGACUUUUUCUAGAACCGGACGGUGGUCGGUCCAACCUUCCCACCUUUCCAAUAUUAAGAUUAAAAAGAUUAUUUACAUAAACUUCUUUUUUAAUUCAAUUAAACUAUUAAUCCAUGCUAACUAUUUUUUUUAUCCAUGCAAAUCUUGUUUUUGUAAAAAAAAUGUAAAAUCUAUAUUAUUAAUUGGGAAUCACUAAAUAUUAAGUAAUCUUAUGAAGAGUAAAAUAUUACAAAAAAUGUCAUUGGUUUUUAGUAUUUUUAAAUAACUUCAUUAAGGGUACAAUAGUAAUCACAAAAUUAAUAUAUUUAAUUAAAAAUAGUUUAACUCUUUUAAAUAAUUAUUAAUUUCCAAAAAAACACUAAUUUUCUCUCUUUUAUUAAUUAUAAACGAAAAUUUGAAAUUAAUUUUUAAAAAAUUGUUAACCAAUAAGAAUUGAAAAACUAAGAUUUGAUAUCCAACUAAGAUUUUAUCUAAACCAAUCGUAAUAGAAUAUUCUAUAUCAAAAAUAAAAAGAAAAAUAAUAUCAUUUUAAUUCAAAAUUAAAAACACUAUCGUUUAAAAGAUUUAUCAAUGGAAGACUUUAAGAUUAAAUUUAAAAUUAAAUACAAAUAUUUUAAGAUUCAGUUUUGUUCUAAUAUUUUCACAAAUUUUAAAAUAUAAAACAAAAUUUUAUUUCACAAUUUCUAAAAUACGAUAUUAGAUAUUAACAACUAUUUAUAUUUAUGAUGAAAUAAACUCAAAUAAUAAUAAAUUUAAAGUAAUUAUCAUUAUAACCUUCGUUUAGAGCAAGUUUGAUAAAUAUCUAUCAAUAGAUUGUAUAUAUUAAUUUCUAAAUUAUUUUGCGUUUUAUUUUUUGUUUUUCAACCGGAUCUUCCUUAAAUAAAUCCCUAAUAUAUUGCACACAGUUUUCAAAUAAUGUAAACUAAUUAUAUAUUUUGAAUUCAAAACAAAUUAUGAAGCAAUAGCAUAUCCCUUUUAGAGAUGUAUCUCAAAUUUUUAUUUUUAGUCCAAAAAUCAAAUUAAUUAUGAUUAAACAAUAAAAAGAAAAAUAUGCAAAAUUUAGCUAAGAAAAUAAAUAUUAAUAAAUUUUUUAAAAUAUAUUUGUAACUUUAGCAGCAUUUAUAUUAAUCUGUAAAACUCACAGUAUGUAUUGUAUGAUAUUUAAAAGUAAGCAAACAAGAAUUUGGAAAAUAAUUUUAAUGGAAUGAAAUGAGAAUAGGAAUUACGAGACGGGAUGAGAGGAAAACAUAAAUUAAAAAUCAAACUAAAUACCCAAUUGGUAUGAGUUCAGGUUAUGAGCACUAUAUAAAAUAAAUUUGUUUACAUACAUAACCUUGUACGUACAUUUUCAGUUACACAUAUUCUAUUUAUGCCGGAUACUGGACCAUCAUAUUUUUAUUUCACGUAUACGAGACGGUUUAUGGGACCAAGAAUUUAUGACAGAUACAUGACGGGAUAGGUUUCCCGUUCUAAAAUAGUUCCUAGCUAAUAUACAUGAAAUAACCAAACUCAAACCGAAUCUAAAUCCUAUUUAACACAUGUAAUCAAACUAUUAGAAAUGUUUUGAUUAGUUUAGAAAAUAAAAAAGUAACAUCAUUUAACUUUUGCAACUAAAUUAUAUCUUAAUUUUAUCUUAAAUAUAAUUAUGCACGUACGUGUAGGUCCGGAUCUUAAAAUAUAACUAUGCACUAACGCAACUGAAUUUCGUUCAUUACUCUAAUUUUAUAAUAUUUAUACUAUUAUAAAGUUCACUAACACAACAAAAUAUUUUAUAUUUUUAAAACAUCUCUGCACGUACGUGUGAAUCCAUAUCUAAUACACUAAAAUAUAUAUCAUAGAAACAACGAAUAAUCUAUAUUAAAUUAAAAUUUGUUAGAACUUUUUUAAGAAUAUGAAACCCCGCACGUAUAUGUGCGGGUCAUGAUCUAGUCUAUACUAUUAAUUGGGAAUCACUAGAUAAUAAAAAACCUUUAAGUUGUAGAAUAUUACAUAGAAUGCUAUUGAUUUUUUUUUCAAUUUGAAAAAAGAAAAAAACAAUUGAAAAAAUCGAAAUUAAAAUUAAUAAAUUAAUAACUGCCUAAUAUUUUUGGAGAUUGUUUAAAGAAGAUUCCAUAAUAAAUCAAGCUAUUUAAUUGAAAAAAAAAAAUAUAUAUAUAUAUAUAUGUAAACUUAUUUAUUUUGGUAAUAUAUUAUUAGAUAUUUCUGGAAACGACAAUCUAAUUUAAUAACAAAUUUUUAUUUAGUUUAUAUUUUAAAAGAUUUUCUUAACAAAACUAUGCUAAUUAAUUCUGAUUAAAUCACAUGAAAAAUAAAAGAUUUCAAAUUUUAUUUUCCAAAUAUAAAAAAAAACAUUUAGUAUAUUUAUCAUAUAUAAUCUAAACUAAAUACUUUCAUCCUUUUAAAUAUAGCACAUUCAACAAAUAAGUUUUGGAUUUUAGAUAUGUAAAUAUCUAGAAAAUAUUUGCAGUAUACAUUAAAAUAUUUUUUUUAAAAACGGGUAGUUUUCAAUAUUUUAAAUAUAUAUUACUAAACUAAAUUUGAAUUAUAUAAAAGAAAAUAUAUUUUUGAAAUGUAUUAUAUUAGUUACUAUAUCUCCAAAUAAGUUAAUAUAUUUCUUACCAAAAAAAAAAAGUUUAAUAUAUUUCAAAUCAAAUAAAUUAUUUUAUUUCGUAUCAAAUUGUUACAAGCUUUUGGAAUAUACAUUCUUCUAAAUUUGAUUAUUUUCUUUUUCAAAAAAUAUUAAAAUAUAAUUUAAAUAUCAUUAUGCAUACAUCCACGUUGAUUAUCUCAUAGUUAAUCUAGAAAAUCGAUUAUUUAAACAAUAGAUGGAGAUCUAAAAGUAAAUUACUUCAUGUUCUUAUGAUGUUUAUCUCCUAAUUUUACUAACCUCCUAUGCAUAUCUUUAUGGUUUUUGGUUUUAGGGUCAACACUAGAUCACAAGUCGCUUAUUGAUCCAUUCACAAAGAAAAUAUAUUUCAUAAACGUUAUCAUAUAUUUAAUUUUGUAUCUGUUAAACACAUUUUAAUCUCUCUUUUUUAUUGUCUAUUGGCCAAAGCAAGAGAUUUGAUUGUAAGGAAUUCAAGACAUAAAACUGACUUCGUAUGGAUGUUUAUCAUGUUUGGUGCUAUAAAUAUUAUAUUCAUUCAUUUACGGUUCUUCUUAUUUUCUUAUCAUGUUUGAUUCUAAACACUUUUUAUAGAAGUUAUCUUUAUUUAUGUUCCUCAGUUAAGUAUUUAAAUUAUACUGUAUUGAGUUUUCUUUUUCAGGUUCAACAUUUGAUACAGUAGAUUAUAAUUUAUAUACUACAAUAUAUAUCAACAAAAUAAUCUAUAUUUACUAAAACUUUAUUACAAUACAUUUCUUAAAAUACGAAAUCCGUCAUGAUCUAGUUUAUUUAAAAAAAAAAAAACUGUGUUACGCAAACCAAACAUCCAAACAAGUACAACCAUCAUAUUUUCUAUCCCUAUCUCGCGGAUGGAGGAUACACGGUUUUCGAACCAAUUUGUCUAGAUUUUGAAUCAUUCGGGGUGGUGGAGUCGGUGAUUCUCCAUGCCUUGUACAGUUUUUUUUCCUCCAAAUCCAUGCAAAUCUUUGAUACGUGGCAAAACAUAAAUUUGACAAAAUCAAUCGCUGAGCUCGACAAAUCAUAUAAUCUGGAUUCUAAAACCAAAGGCAUCUUAAUUUUGUUUCAAUGGAGGUGUGGCUACGGACAAGGUCCUACGGAUAGUUACGUCCGUUUUGUUUGCUAACGUAAAAAGAGCGACGCGGAGGAACGAAGUAAGUAAAUGCAGAAUAUGAGUAAAGGAAAGAAUCGAACAUUAUAAAAGUUUGAAUGCGAAUAAAUUAGUAUCAUCCACUUAUCACCAGAUUAAAAAAAAAAAAAAAAAAUCUGUUAUAUAUAUAUUCUUCUUCUAGUGGAUCAUACAUAUGUAACCAAUCUUUCUAUACUUUCCCGGUCACAAUUUGGAAUCACCUUUUGUUAGAUAGUCCAAAACUUGAAUAUCAACCUUUCACUUGAGAUGAUUCCAAGAGAAUCACUUUUAUUUACACUAAUACAAAAUUUCAAAUUCCAACAAAUAACAAAAAUUCAAAUAAAACGAACUUGUUUACCCAUAGGUUAUAUAAGUUACUUAUGACACAAAAUUUAUAGUGCUCAUAUAAGAGAGAUGUGAUACAUGGACAUUCAGAGAAUCAGAGUCCGAGUCCACAUUUAAACCGGAACCAAACCAAACUAAACCGGAAACUGAAUAGCUAGUCACUCGUAGGGAUCAGUUAUGCAAAAAAAAAAAAACAAAGGCAGCUUUUGGUUUUGCAAAAGCUAAGUUGCGUCAGGCAAGACAAGGCAAGGCAAAGUCAGAGAGAGUACAAUGUCGCAUGUGAAACCUUUGUGUCCUGUCUCUUUCACUACCCACUAAUUCUAGUAUUUCAGAAACAAUAAGACAACAACACUGUAAAAAUUUUAAGGAAAAUAACUCAGUUGAGUAAAUCAGUGAACUUCUCUGUUUGCUGCUUGUAUCUUCUUUACCUAUUCAACACAAAGAUUCAAAGUUACUUUCAUUUGUUUUCUAAGAGAGUUAUGAUGAUGCCAGUGGAAUCUGUCAGUGAUUGCUUCUCCACACAACACACUGUAAGAAAAAAAAAAAGGUAAACUGAGAGACUUACCUUUCAUGGUGAAAACAAGUAAAAGAUAAAAGAUAAACAUUAGAACUCACAACAAAUCUCUGUCUUAAAAAUGGUUCCAGAUAUCAAGACUUUAAAUUAAAGUAAGUGAUCUCAUUUGUUCUAUCUCCAUCUUUCAAUCUGUUAUACCUCCACUUUCACAGAGAAUCUUUAUAUAAGCAAUGGUGAUAAAAGCUAACUCAAGAAAGAAAUCAAAAGGGUUAGAUCGUAUAUAAGCAUCUACUCUAUUCGUUUGUUUGUCCUGGUCCAUACACAUGAUAAUAUCCAUGUCUAAAAAAAUAAAGAUCAGAUCCUAAGAUUAUGGUAAAUGCAUUUCCAAUAAGUGUCUAGCAAAAAAAGACUCAAGGUUUGCAAGAAAACGAAUUCAAUAGUCACAUCAAUUUAUUAGGAAGACGUUUGUUUUGUUCCUAAAGAACAAAAAGAUUGUUAUGAGUUAAGCCCAUGUGUAAAUUAUGGACCUUGAUGUACUAUUGCACACAGUGGCAGGCCAAUAAAGACUUAUAAGGCAAUCAUUGAUAUCUUGAAGAGAAAAAAUAUCUUACAUUUGAAACAAAAUUUCAGAUUGGAACUUUAACACUAAACUGGAAAAACUUAUCUUUAGUUUUCAUAUUUCUAUCAACUAUAUAUUAAAUCUAAGAUUAAACAAACAAAUGAAAAUGUUAAUAACACAAGUUUCUCUAAUGCCUAUCUAUAUAUCUAAUUUUCUUUCUUUCUAACUUUUUAUUUUUUAUUUUAUUUUCUGAGCUAGCACAUCAACGUAAUCAUGCACUUAUUCCACCAGAGAAACGUACAAGAGCACAGUGGUCCAUCUCCCUACUUUACUUCACCUUUUAAACUCUUCAAAAAUCUUCAAUAUCACCAAGUCCCAUUCCUCAACCAUUGCUUAACCUAUUAGAGUUUCUUUUCUCCAACAAACCAUCUUUUCAAGACUCCAACUUCAAGCUUUCUUUAACUCAAAAAAUGGAGGGUAAAAGAACACAAGGACAAGGGUACUUGAAAAAAAAGUCUUACCGUGUGGAAGAAGAAAUGGAGUAUGAUACGGAUGGAGAAGAGGAAGUUGGUAGGGAAGAAGAGAGGAGGAAAGGAGUGAUGGAUAGAGUUAGAGGGUCUAGUGGCAGCAUCGAUCGUGGUGGCUCGUCGCGGCUUUGCCAAGUAGAUAGAUGCACAUCUGAUAUGAAGGAGGCAAAACUGUAUCACCGGAGACACAAAGUGUGUGAAGUUCAUGCAAAGGCAUCUUCUGUCUUUCUCUCAGGACUUAACCAACGCUUUUGUCAACAAUGCAGCAGGUAACGUACAACAUAAUAUGUCCUUAACUAAACUUUUUUCUGGAUCUUUGAAUGGUGAUUUUGAGUUUUUGAAACAGGUUUCAUGAGCUCCAAGAGUUUGAUGAAGCAAAAAGAAGUUGUCGUAGGCGCUUAGCUGGACACAAUGAAAGAAGAAGGAAGAGCUCUGGUGAGAGUAGUUUUGGAGAAGGAUCAGGUCGGAGAGGAAUCACUGGUCAGGUGAUCCAGAAUCAAGAAAGAUCAAGGGUAGAGAUGACACUUCCUAUGCCAAACUCAUCAUUCAAGCGACCACAGAUUAGAUAGAGAAGCUGUCUGCUCUCUCUCUUCUGUCAUCUAAAUUUCUCUCUUAGAAUAUCUGAAAUUGUGGUAUCUAACAAUGUCGAAAUCAGCUGAGUCAUAUAUAGUAUUGACUCCUAGUAUAGAGAAAUAAAUCACUGCCACCACUCUCUAGUACUCUCCUAUGUUAUCACUUAUAUGCAAAUGCUAAGACUCUACUUGAACCUUGAAUGUAUUUUUCAAAGAUAUGGUUAAUGAUUUGUGUAAUACUUCUGCCUUGUCGAUGUGUGAAUGCUAAUUGGUAAAGGUUUUCAAUACAGAUACGAGCAAGGAGUGUGUCUUAUCCAGAAACACAGGGGACUACUAAGUACUAACCGAAAGCCACGGUCACUUUGAAGUUUGAGAACCACAAAUUAAAUGAGAUACUUUGCUGAAGAUUUCAUAUCUUUUAUACACCGUCAAUCGAGUUGACGGGUACUUGGUUUGACGUACACUACAAGUAGUAUAGAAUACAAGAUUUGAAUAAUCAACGACCAUUAUCAGUAAAUUGUUGAGUAGAUUAUAGUAGAAGCAAACCUUCCAGGGUCCAUUACUUGCUAUGAUGAGAAACUUUGCGUCAUCAAUAAUUAUUUUAUGCCAAAUUAAUGCAUCCUUAUAGAUGUUUUCAAACAAAUUGGAGCACAAGUAAUUGGAUAAUGAAUGUAGCAAACAGACUAUAAAGUGAAUAUGAAAACGACCUAAUCCUCCAUCUCUAACAAGUUUAUACAUUUAAGUGAAAGUUUUUAAAAGAGUUGUCGCUAUACGUUCUUUGAAAUCCAGAUUCACCCUCAAGCUACUACUGCAAAAUUUUAAUAACUACUCUUAAAGAAACAUCAUGUUAAACCUAAGAUCUUAUCAAAUGAACUGAUUCUCGUGAACUAAUAGGAACAAAAAAAAAAUACAAAGAUCGAAACAAAAAAAAAAGCGAAAGGCGUUGAUUCAAGUAGUAACAAGUCGAUGAAGUACGAGUGAUUUAGAUUUUGACGGAUUUAGGGUUUAGAGAUCAAAACGCUAAUAAUUUUAGCCAAAUCCGAAAAUGCAACAAAGGAUGUCCAAGCCUUUGUGGUCUAGUGGCAGAUGAAGCUUUGGUGAAGGGUGAAACUCCCAGACCCGAGUUCGAUUCUCCCUGGAAACAAAAACACAUUUGUUUGGAAAGUCUGUCAGUUGGGCUUUGGCCCAAUUGGUUUACCUGGUAGUCAGAAAUGCAGGCGGCCUGACUACCCCCUGGCAUUAGUCGGAAGGCAUUCCAAACUCGGAUCAUGCAGUGUGGUGGCCCAAUUCUACCUGGAUCAGGAGAAGUCCACUCGGUAGCACCUCGGUGCGUUCUUACCGAGGCUGACCGGAUCAGCCGAUAGGGUUUAUAAAAAAAAAUGCAACAAAUGAUAGAGAGAGAGAAACGACUCAACGAGACUAUAUCCUAACUGGCCCAAUUAGAGCCCAAAACUAUGGUGGGCUUACCUCAUUAAGAUAUCGAUAUGAUUCUAAACCUUUUUUUUUUUUUUUGCUUAUGCUAAAUUGCUAAUAUAAAGUUUUAUUCGUUUUAUUGUUGACAACAACGAGUCAACGACCAGCAAUUAGCAAUUUAGCUAUAUCUUUAUUAUUCGUUUUGUUUAAUAUAAUAAUCAACAAUUAUGGUUUUUGUAUUGGUUUAGCGAUUAGCGGACCAUAACUUUCAAUCAUUAACAAUUUUUUUAGCUUUUUAAAUUUUAACUAAAAACAGUUUAAUGUUGCUGAUGACUACAAAACGAAUAUGAUUUAGUCGUUGUAAUAUGUUGUUGCUGCAGAUACGUACGACUACAAAACAAACAAAAUUUGAUAUCUAUUUUUGCUAUCGAUGUUGCUUAUAAGUUUAUAACUACCAAACGAACAUCGCAUAAUUGAUCUUCUUUAUCAAAAAAAAAAAAAAAACAUCGCAUAAUUCUCUCGUUCUUUUCCAGAAACAUAUAAUAACACUAUAUAAACUGCAAGAUUACAUGUCUUGGUCAUGUUAUCGUAACUUUAAUAAACGUAAAACGUGUAUUGGCGUAACUACACAACCAGCUUCUUCCAAUUACCGAGUCAUAAUUACGUUAGGUUCAUUAAACGUUAAGCAAAAUGGACGAGUCUACAAUGAAAAAAGAAAGUAAAAGAUUAUUAAGCAUGGGUGUUAAUGAUAAUUGGUGGUCCUAGCUAAUCCCUAGAGAAUGGGCCAGUGAUGUGUCCUAAAGAAAGACCCGAAUUGGAGACAAAAAGCCACAUAAGGAGAUCUUUGUCUUGAAUUUUGCUUCGGUUAGAAGUGUACUUUCUUCUUCCUAUCGGCUGGAACAAACAUUAAGAUUGUGAAUGCAUAAUAAAUAUAGUUGCUGGUGCGUUUGUUACUAAGCUUUAGUAUAAUCAGUACGGUUAAUUGGAACAUUAUGGUCAAAGUAUUACUCCCUCCAAUUUCCAAACUACAUAUUUUAGAUUUUUAUUUUCUUUUACAAAGAUAUAGAUGCAUAAAUUAAAAUCAUAAAGACAAAAAUUAGCUAAAUUUUCGACUAGUUUUGUUGGAAGCUGAUGAUCAUGGUAGUUAUGAUUAGAAGUUUUGAUUUAUAAUUGUAAAAAAUUGUAUUGAAUAUUGAAAAUGUCUGUUGAGUAAGCACAAAGUCAUGAUCACGUAAUUAGAUCAAAUAACAGAGACAGAAAACAGACAGAGUCUUGAAAAGAGCUAGAGAUCGAGAAGAAUUGACUAUGACUAGUCUCUUGUGUUUAUUAUGGUUAAUCCAUAACUAGAAUUUCUCACCUAAUAAAGGAUUUGCUUCAAUGCGCCUUGAUUUUUUUUGUAAAAUAUGAUUCUUGAUAUUAUAGAUAUAAUGUGUUAUAUUCUUAUUUUUUGGUCAAAUCAUAUAAUGUAUUCAAAUUAAUAUAUUGAAAAAUAUAUAUUUGAUUUUGCUCGCAAGACCUGAAGUAAGAAUUUAUCUUCAUUUGUCAGCAUUUUUGUGACAUACAUAUUUGUUAGAUGUGUAUGUAGAUAACAUUUUAAGUAAAUCACUAAGUAAAUGUGUGUUUUUAUUAUAAGAGUAACUAAUGAAGUGUGUCUCAAACUCUCAAUCUAGACCACAACUAAAGUACUAAAUCUUAAUAUAUGCACUAUAUAUUCCAUUUGCAUAUGAUACCAGUUAGAUUACCAAUAGAUAAUUUGUUUACUCUUCUUUUAAGUAUCUUUUAUAUAUAGACUUCAUAAAGCCAUUGUUGCUUUCUGCUUAAAACUUUUAAGAGUAUUUUUGGGAGACCGUGUCCCUCACUACGAGAACCUCAAAGAGUAUGUGCCUCUGACUUGUGAGCUGUAGACUUCUAUAAAAAAAAUUCAUCAAACAACAAAUCUAAUCAAUAAAGUACUUAAAAAUCAAAUUAAUUUUGUAUAGUGUUAUCUAUAUAAUUUAUUAAAUUAUCUAGAUAAAUAUCUUGUUAUUAAAGAUCUAAUAUAGGCAACAUGUGGGAUCGUUUAGGGAUCCACAACACUUUAGACAAUAUCAUGACAUGAACACCAUAACCAUUACUACUUCACUUGGAUCUCAUUCUUCUUAUGCCCCCACAAAAAAGUCAAGCACUGAUCUGGCAAGUCUUUGACUGCCGUACCCAUUUCGCCACGUGUCCAACUUUAACUCUAUUCCUCCUAUAUAUAAACACAACUAAUAAACAGUUAAACACAUUCAUAUGGACACAAGUAACGUUUUGAAGAUGGAGGAUGACCAACAAAGUACCCCAAACUCCGGUGAGACCAAGCCGGAAACGUCCGUGGAGACAUCAUCACCAUCGGACUUUGAGUUUGGAUCAUUGACUCCCUCAUCUCCAUCACAAGACCCCUUCUCGGAAAAUUCUCCCGCCGAUCAUCUUUUUCUCAACGGCCGUCUAUUACCGCACUCUUUUCCGACGAGCACGACGACGACACGUUCAGUGUCACGUACGACCAGCGAUAACACUUUUCGGAGCAAUAGUUCGAGCAGCCGAAGCAGUUAUAGCAGCAGCCCGACAUCUUACACUCCAAGAACAAGCACUUGUAAUAUCUUCAAGAUCACGAGUUCUAGUACCGGACAUGUGAAAGAGACUAAUUUAACAUGUUUUGGUACUCGGUCCGAAGAGAUUAUGUGUCUGAGGCCCGUAACUUCUUUGAAGAAAACAAACACUUGCAGCAGCAAAGAAUACUAUAACAAGCCAUCGUUAAUAUUGGAUCUAAAGAAGAGACCACCGGUGAAAAAUGGUAAAGCCGUAAAUACUUCAACCACAAAUAAGGUUUCGUCUUUGCCGCAAUGCAAGAGGAAGAAGGCGACGGAGAUUGUGACAGCGCAGCUUUACGGGUCGUAUUCACGGCGGUGGCAGCAUAUAACUCCGGUCUUUAAAAGAGAAGGAUCGGUGAAAAGUAGAGGAGGAGGGAUUAAGGUCGGUGGACGGAAGAAGAAGACGACGAGGAGGAAGAAGCCAACGAAGGCGGAGGAGAGAAGAGGAAUGAGUAAGUUGAUGAAGUGGUGGAAGAGGAUUUUAAAGGCGGUGGUGUUUGCUUGCAGGGAGUGUCAUGCAAUGGAGCCUCAGAUACUUGUAAAUGAUGAUGCUGAUGUGAAAAAGAAAAUAACUAAAUGUCCAUAAUCAAAAAUUUCAAUGUUUUUCUAAUGUUUUCCAUGUUUUUUUUUUUUUGUCUUCUUCUAGUUUGUGUAAAGAAAUUUUACAAAUAUCUAUUAGAUCAACUUUUGGAAAAAAUUGAAUACAUAUUUAUUAUGAUUUUAGUCAAAAAUACUAGUUUUGGAUUUUUUUAUCAAGUGACUCGAAUAUUUUCCUCAUUUUUAGUUAAAUAAUUAUUUCAGAUCCGUGUUCAAAAAAUUGCUAGACGCUAGUCGGGCAGUGAGGGUGGGGCUAGCGCCUAGCAAGAAAAUCGGAGAUUAAAUGGAGAUUAAUCGAGAUUAGUUUUAGGGCUAUUUAAUGUUUGAAAAACAUAAUAUCGUUUUAAAAAUUACAUUAAACACAUUAAAACAAGAUUUUAAGCUCAAAAUUAUGAUUUUUUAUACAAAUUACGAAUAUAAGUGGGAUGUUUCGAAUUUUAGAUUAAAACAAAAAAAAUUGGGCUAUGCGCCGUCUAGGCGGCCGCCUAGCCCGCCUAGGCGAACAAAAAUCGGACCAGUGAUUUUUUUUUACCGAUUUGGACAAAAUCGCCGCGAUUCCCUUCCGACCAGUGCCUAGGCGGCCGAUUUUUAGAACAAGGCUUCAGAUUUUGUAAACAUAAGAAAAAUACACAACAACAAAAUUUGCACUAUUCACCAAAAAAAAAUAGCACUAAUCAAGGGAAAAUGGUCAUUUAAUUCCCCUACUAUUUGCAAUCGACACUUUUAUUCCCGAACUUUCGUGUGAACAAAUUAAUUCUUCAAUGUGUAGUUGACUUAACACUUUUGGACAAAGAAAUAGUCAACGUCAAUUAGUUAACAGCGACAUUAAAAGCUCGAUUAAAAACUUCAUCAGCUCAAAAAAUCCCCAAUUAUUCUUCUUCUUCCCCCCAAAUUGAAACCUAGGGUUCUUAGGCUAUUUUAAAAACGAUGAAUCCGGAAAUUGAGUUCGAUUGAGAGCGAUUCCCGACAUACAACUGAGAUUUCAUCUACCAUCUCCUGCGAUUUUGUUUUAGGAUUCAGUCGCAGUCUUUCUUCAUACAACUGAGAAAUAGUUCCGCUCUUCAACAGCUUUGUGUAACCAGAUCUUACACAAACAUGCUCAUUUCGGAAUGUUUUUAUUACAAGCUUGCUUUUACUCUUCUCAAAAGAACAAUACACCAUCCAUGGACACUUUUCUUCGAUGUGUUGUGUGCACUUUGCCCCAAGUCUAUCAGAUGAUGACUUAAACAUUUUGAUAUCAUAUUCGGUUUUAAGAGAAUACUUGAGUAGUGCCAGCCCCGGCUCUGAUGGGUAGGGCGGAAGUGCGACGGCCCGGAGCUUUUUUUUUUAUAAAAAAAUUUUACAUAUAAAAAGGCCCAAAUAUUUUUUAAAAAUAUUAUUAAUAUGAGAAUUAUAUUUUAAGAGGCCUAAUUAUUUAUAAGAAAAUGUAUAAAAAGGCCCAAAAUUUUUAAAAUAACAAUUUUUACUAUAAAAACUCCGCAAAAUUUUUAAAAAUUAAGUAAAUUUUCUCUUUGUAUAUAAUUAUAGGCCAAAAAAAUUUUUUUUGCCCUAAGGCUCUCAAAUAUAUUGAGCCGGGGCUGAGUAGUGCAUACUUGAAUUCAUCUACAUUGUUGAAUUUCUUAUGCAAUGCUAAUAGAUCAUCAAGUUGAACUCCAUCAGUGAAUGGUCUCUCAACUUCCUCUUGGUCAUCGUCGGAUAAUGGAUCAAGGAUCUUGUCGUCGUCCCAGAUGUCAUCUCCGCUGUCAUCAGAAUUUUCAUCAGUUGCUUCUUCACAUGCAUCAUGCCCAAAAUGGUCUUCUAAGUUGUUGCAGAUUUCAACAUCGAUGAGACCAUCAUCUUCUUCCUCUUCAUUUCAAGCCAAACAUGGUUGCACCUCUGUAUAUCCUCUGCUAUCUUCCACGAUAACUGGACAGUCAUCUUCAUCAACACUAGAAUCAUGAGAUUCGGCUCCUUCGUCUUCAACUUGGUCUCACUCCUCUGUGACUUCGGGUUCGAUUUGGGCAUCACGUUCGAUUCGAUUUUGAAGCUUCCUCUUUUUUUUAGUCAUGGUAAUAGCUUCGUGAUGUCGGGAAUCACUCUCAAUCGAACUCAAUUUCUGGGUUUUUAAAAUUGCCUAAGAACCCUAGGAUUCAAUUUGGGGGAAGAAGAAGAAUAAUUGGGGAUUUUUAGGGGUGAUGAGAUUUUUAAUCGAAGUUUUAACGUUGCUGUUAAUUAAUUGACGUUGACUAUUUUUUUUGUCCAAAAGUGUUAAGUCAACUACACAUUGAGAAAUUAAUUUGUUCACACGAAAAGUUUGGGAAUAAAAGUGUCAAUUGCAAAUAUUAGGAGAAUUAAAUGACCGUUUUCCCCACUAAUCAAUGCAUCUUUUCUGCUUGGGUUUAGUUAAUUUUAAACUAAAACGCUCAUCUUUGGGCUGGGCCUGUCUUAUGAACUCGGUAAGAUUGGGUCGGGUCGUGUAUCUUUAGCUGGAUAAGUUAGUCAAGUCGGGUCGGGUCGUUUAUUAUUUUUUUUAAGGCAAAAAACCAAAAAAUCAGAAGUAAAAAAACAAAAAUGAAAAAUUGAAUAAUCAAAAUCGAGAAAACUUCAUAAUCGAAGUUCUUCUUCUCGAUCUCUUGGUGCUCGAGAGAGAGAGCAUUGGAUAGAGAAUUUUCUUGGGAAAGUAACAGAAGAACGAAGACUAAGGAAGAAAAACUAAGAUCUGUAUAUAUAUUCGACGCGUCUUCUUCGUUCACCUAUAAGGUAAUCUGAAUGCGAUCCUGGAAAUUUCUCUGAUUUUUCACAUCGUAAUCGUUGAAAUUUUGGGACUUCUUUGCUUUUUUGAUUGAUCCAAUUGGAGAAAAUUCAAAUUACGUCUAUGUUGAAAUUUUUGCUAUCUUAUAGUGGAAAAAUUCAUUCUUUUGUUUCGUUGCUUGUAUCGAGUAAAGAGUAUAUAUGCAUUGUGAUAAUCAGAUUUUAGUUAUAGAUCUCAGUUUUGGGAAUUGGCUGUGUAGUAGUUGAAGGGUUGACUCAAUUUGGGGUAUUUUGAUUGCAAGUGAAAUUCUUCUGCUUGUAAUUGGCGAAUUUAUUGAUGCAGUCUAGUGUUUGCAGAGGGGAAAAAGGUGAUUUUUUUUCUUUCUUUGUUGUGGAAAUGGAUGAUGUUGCUGGUUUACAAGAGGCAGCUGGAACCAGAUUUAGCCAGUUUGAGUUAAUCGGAAGAGGAUCGUUUGGUGAUGUCUACAAAGCGUAAGUAUUUUCUUAAGAUUUUGCAGUUAUUAGCUUCUUUACUUUGAAAUAAUAGAGUGAUACUGAUAAAUGUGCUUUCAUCUGGAAUAUAGAAACUCAUGAAAGCAUUUUUUUUGGUUAUCACACAAUAAUACUGAUAUGUGAGCACUAAUCUGACCCACUAUGUUGACAUUUCUUGCUAGAAAGAAAUUGAGAGUUUGUUGAUAUCAAGUGGGAAAAAGCAGAAUUUUAUGGAAUAAAUAUUAUCCCAUUCCAGCCUUGAUCUAGGAGAGUCUGAUUUGCAUUAGUUUUCUAUCUUGUCCAAUAAGGACUAACUAAGAUUAGUUACGUCUACCCUAUUCAUGUGCUGAGCUGUUGCCUCUGAUUAUCAGGUUUGAUACGGUGCUUAACAAAGAUGUUGCCAUUAAAGUUAUUGAUUUGGAAGAAUCGUAAGUAUUUGUAUUUUUUUUUAUGUAUUUACAAAGGUAUUCUUUUAUAUGCUACUUGUUUGCGAUUCUUAAAGUCAGUAAUCUAUAUUUGAUUUCUCUAUAAAAUAGCUCUAGUUUCCGGCUGUAGUAUUCAUGUCUAAAGAAUACCACAAUGCUCAGUGCCCUUUUCUAACUAGUCCUUUUGCUUCAUAUGUGACAGAGAAGACGAGAUUGAAGAUAUACAGAAGGUAUCUCUUGGAUUGACCUUGAUUUUUUUGGUUAGUGUUAGUAUGCAGGAUUCUCGUGUUCACAUUUUGUUAUCAACCCCAGGAAAUUUCAGUAUUGUCACAAUGCCGUUGCCCAUAUAUUACCGAAUACUAUGGUUCUUACCUUCACCAAACCAAGUUAUGGAUCAUCAUGGAAUAUAUGGCUGGUGGCUCAGUUGCUGACCUUGUAUGUUAUUUCACUUCUUUUCUGAGUUGAGAUAUAAAAUUGUUUGUGUGAUGAUGCACACAUCUCUGUGGAUUUCUUAUUCUUUAAUUCUCGUUUGUGCAAAUUUUAAUCUAAUAAACUGUAUUGUGAGUGUAGCUUCAACCGGGUAAUCCAUUGGAUGAAAUUUCAAUUGCUUGUAUUACGCGCGACCUACUUCAUGCUGUUGAAUAUCUCCACGCUGAGGGAAAAAUCCACAGAGAUAUUAAAGGUUUUCUCUGCUAAUAUAUUUUAAUAUGUUAUGGCUUUUCUUGAUCCAACUGCGUGUUCUCAUCGCUUAUUGCAUGGCAAAUUUUUUCUUUCUAUUUUUGCAGCCGCUAAUAUUUUGUUGAGUGAGAAUGGUGAUGUUAAGGUAUUCUCUACUUCUUAAACUUAUUUGAUUAAUUUCUUAAAUUUUCUUUUUAUGUCCGAGUGGUUUAGUUGCGCAGCUGAUCUCGAACUUCUUUCACGCAUAUCAGGUUGCGGACUUUGGUGUUUCUGCACAAUUAACCCGGACAAUAUCAAGGAGAAAGGUGCUUAUCUUAUUAUACUAAUGAAUCUCCUGACUCUAUAUCGUGUUUCUUUCUUCGUCAUUUAUUGUGCUUACUGUUUUAGUAAUUUAGAAUGUUCUUAAAUAGGCCCACUCACUUUAUUACCCUUGUCGCUGUGGCUUUGUGCAGUUUCAGUUCCCAUGCACUACGUCACAUAAUUUUGUGCAUGCUUUUCCAUAGUCUAAUCAUUCCAAUGUUUGAACAUCUUAAGAAUUUCAUGUCAUAAGUUGUCCUAUGGAAGCUGAAGGAUAACUAUUUUUUUAUAUUAUGUUGAGUUCUCGCCUGUGAUGCUUUGAUGUUAUUAUACAACUAUUCCGACUGCAUUCGCUAAUAAUAUAAAAUGGGCAGACAUUUGUGGGAACACCAUUUUGGAUGGCACCAGAAGUGAUUCAGAACUCAGAAGGGUAUAAUGAGAAGGUAUCUCGUCCAUCUACCGUAGCUUCUUUUGUUCUUCUUGUUUACCCAAUCUUGUGUAUGCCCUGGCUUUACUUGUUUUGUAGCCCUUUCUAAUCUUGUCUGUUCUGAUUCUGGGUUGAUUUUUUUCAGGCAGAUAUAUGGUCUCUUGGAAUAACAAUGAUCGAGAUGGCAAAAGGAGAACCUCCACUUGCUGACCUUCAUCCUAUGAGAGUGCUUUUUAUCAUUCCCCGGGAAAGCCCUCCUCAGGUUUCAUCCUAAUACUGCCAUAUGUCUUGAUUGCAAAGCCGCCUUUCACGACCUAGACAUUUAACUUUUGUAUUUCCUCCGCAGUUAGAUGAGCAUUUUUCACGUCCUUUGAAGGAAUUUGUUUCGUUCUGCUUGAAAAAGGCUCCUGCUGAGGUACUUGUAGUGUGGUCUCUGAUCUUUAUUGUCAGCAGUAAAAUGCAAGAUCUCUCAUACAACUCUUUCUUAUACUUUCAGAGACCAAGUGCCAAAGAACUUCUCAAACAUAGAUUUAUAAAGAAUGCUAGGAAAAGCCCGAAACUACUUGAAAGAAUAAGGUGUGAUCUUUGUUCUUCCAACAGUGUUGGUUUGUGGUUAUAAUUUAUUUACUCCGCUUAUUUUAUUGUGUGACAAUAACUAUGCGGUUUGAUUUAUUGUUUCCUCAGUUGAUUCGUUUUUUCCGAUCUGCUAUAUGCCAAGCGAAAAUACAGAACAGGGUGAUUUCUAAUGCUGUUCUUUUUCUUUUGUUUGAAGAGAGCGGCCAAAAUACCAAGUAAAAGAGGACGAAGAGAUUCCAACAAACGGUCCAAAAUCUCCCGUGGAAUCUUCUGGGACUGUUAGAGUGGCUGGAGAUGAGAGGGGCCAGGGAACUUCUGGAACUAGGUGCGAUAAAUGGUCUACUCUUGGGAUUUCUUCUCUCUUUCUUGUUCGUCAAAAUCUUAAGAACUUGGAGCUACAGUUUUCAGGUAAAAACUGUCAGAAAUGCGGGGUGGGACUUUAGCUUUGGGGGUUCACAGGGUGCUGGAACUGUUCGAGCUUUAAAACCUCCACAAGCCAGGGAAAGGCGCCAAGAAGUUAGUUCUAAUCAGACUUCUCAAAAAACAUCACGAGCCAGUGGUAGUCAAUUGUCAUCCACUUUUGGUGUCCCUGAAAUCUCUGAAGGAGGUUUUAAUAAAAGAGAUUCUUAUCAGAAUGACAAUCAAGAAGAAGUAAGUUCCUUAGCCUCUUGUGUGCCUAGAUGCAGUCCCAUUCUUUCUUAUUAGCAGACAUUGCACGGGAAAUCCUCUUGAACUUCACAAAUAUAUCAUGAUCUGUUGUGUUUCAAGUUAACCAUUUUCAAUUUGAUUUAAGUUCCUUUCAUUUGGAGGAUUAUCACAUCUUCAGAAGGAUUAUUAAUAUAGAAUAAAAAGAACUGGAACGUGGUAGAUCAUACUUUUCUCAUCCUUGUCCUUCUGAAUUUUCAGGAUGAUUCAAGUGGUUCUGGAACUGUUGUCAUAAGAUCUCCGAGAAGCUCUCAGCCAUCUUCAAUGUAUCGUGAUCAAAGCUCUGGGGUAUUGGAAAUUCUUCCUCUCUUUUUUAUAACUUAUAAAGCAAGUCUGUGUGCUUUGCCUUAGUCCUGUCAUGCGGUUCCAAGAUGUCUAAUUCCAGUUCUGCCGUGUAGUCUGCCAACAGGUAUACGUCUUUUGAUGAUGCUUCUACAAGUGGAACAGUCGUUGUCCGUGGGCAGAAUGAUGAUUCUGGAUCACCUCGAACACCAAGAUCUAGACUAGGGCUUCAAGAAAGAAGUUCCAGUGCCUCAGAAGAUAGCAUCUCAAAUCUUGCAGAGGUUGUUUAAAACUUUAUCUUUUGAAGUUGUGUCUGAAAUUACAAGUUAUUCUACUGUGUUCUUAUUCAUUUCCGUUCUUCUUUCAGGCAAAAUUAGCACUUGAAGCAGGUUUCAGAAGAGGAAAUGCUAGGGAAAAACUUGGUAAUGGGAAGGUUAACAAAAGAAGAGAACAAGCAACAGAUAAUUCUGAUUACUUGAGGUUAGUGUGUCUAUGUAUACUAAGCUUCUGCUGGUCACAGGAUUUGUAUUGUUAUUUCUGACAUGAAAGCUGUUACCUUGCAGAAAUUCCCGUGAUCAUUCUGAUAAACAGAAACCAGUCAUAAGAUCACAACAAGUGAGUGAUGAUGAAGAUGACUCCAAAUUAGCAUCAUUGUCUGCAUCAUUGUCACUAUUGCUAUUACCAUCCCUAAAAGAGGUAAGCUCCUACUUAUGAUAUCUAUAAACUAUACUCACAUUUGGCAUCUUACUUCUCUCAGUGAGUUGGGAGUUGUCUUCAAUUUUGAGAUAAAAAAGUUUCGUUUUGAGUUAGAAGCUGCAAAUAAUGUAGGCUGUCGGGGGUGACGACUCAAAAGGAUCUGUUGGACAUAGAGUUUCGAGAUCCUUAGUGAACAUGGAACGCGAAAAGCCUGGUUCUUCUGAAGCUUUUAUUGCCAAACUGAUCGAACAGUUGGGAAGGUACGGGAAACUCUAAAAGAACAUAUACACACUUGUUGCAUACAGUAUAUAUCAGUCUGUUUUAUUGUCAAUACUUUGAUCUGAUGAACCUCGAAAAUCGUCAUACAGUACAAAGGAAGUGUCAGUGAAAGAAGUGCAAGACAUGGCGAUCCGUGUGUUCGCUAAGACAAUGAACAAAGAUGCAGAGAACAAAAGAAAGCAAGCUAGCAAAGAAUUUAGUUCCAAUGCAAACUUUAGUCCACUUGCAAGAUUCUUAUUCUCAAGGUUUGACUGAUGAUUAACAUUAAAUCUUUUCCUGAAACGAAAACAGAUUAAUAACUUCAAAUCUUUUCUUUUCUGUGUUUGCAGAUGGCUAGGUCAAACAUCGCGUGAUCUUAACCAAAGUUGAGACACGCACAGAAGACAGAACGUAAGAAUGUUGUUUGUGUGUCUUUUACAUUGAUUUGAUGCAUUGAAUUUUGGUAUUUAUGUGUAUAAAUUUUUCAUCAGAAAAAGGGUGUAUUUAUAAAUUUUAAGUUUCUUUUUCUUUUUUUAAUUGUCAUUUCCUUCCUAUUUCGGCUCUUUAGUUUUAUCUUUAUUUUCCCUUCCUGGUUUUUUCGAGGGGAAGCAUAUUUAUUCUUAGUUGUAUAAUUAAGGGCUUGCCUUUAUCUUGUGAUAAUAUGUAAUCACUCUUGCCAUUUCAUUCAUAAACCAGUACUCAUUAUCAUUAUUUUUGUUUCUCUUUCUUUAACUCUCUCUCUCAUAUAACAAAAGUCAUCAAUUUCUUGGCAAUUUGUGUGAUUCAUGAAUCGGACAACUCAAUGCAGCUGUAAACUGAAACUUUUGACUAACAAGAGUUAUUACCAUGAGGGGACCUGUAGUGAAUCAAAACAUAUCCUCAAGUUGCAGGAACACUAGCUCGGUCUUGGUUUAGAUGGUUAAGUCCCAACUCUCAAAUGCCCAGCAAACCGAAGAAGCAUACCUCCAGCCCUCACUAUUCCAAUGGACUCACCAAAUCAGUCUUCUAGAAGACAUCUAUAACGGACUAUGUCGUUCACAGCAGCAUCAAACAGAAACUACAAAACACAAAGAAACAUCUAUAACCCUAGUCUCUCUUAGAAAUUAAGGUUAAUAACUUAAUAGUAUACUUUCUUAUUAAUGAAUAGAGACCCUUAGAGAACCUCCAUCAUACCAUUGACGGAGGUGCUCCUAUAUACGCCUUCAUCCGACUUAAUCAUGCAAAGAAAAAAAAACACUUUAACAUAGAAAUUAAAAUAUGAAAACCAAAUUCAUAAAGUAGAACACCAAAACUAAAUAAUUAAAAGGCUUAAGCGUACCCUAAUCAACCUAACCAUAGUCUCGUAUCAAGUUACUAACACAAACUAUUCUUCUUCUUCAUUGAGGACAAUCAGGCCUUUUCAUUCGCAUUUGCCAUUUCCUCACCUUCAAAAAUGAAAAAGAGCCUUGUUUAGUGUAUGGGGGAUUCCAUUUUACCUCCCAAAUGUUAAAAACAAAAUAGAAACAUAUUCUUACCAGACUCGGUGGCUUUCGCUCUUCGACGUAGUAUUUCCAGCACUGAUACGAUUUUAAAAAAAAAUCAAUCAAUCACAGAUUUGUAUUUUCUCUUUUUCUUAGAAACAAAAUACGGAUAAUCUCAACAUUACCACCAACAACGCAACCCACAAAUCCAACGUCAAUAAUGCGAGCCGUCAAAUCUCGGCCUGUUAGCUAUCGCAAAUCCGCGUUUUUCCACCAAAACUGUAAACCUGCAUUUUUCCGCCAAAACCGCAAACCGGUGUUUUUCCCGCCAAAACCGUUGACCCACGUUUUUCCGCCAAAACUAUAAACUCGCGUUUUUCCGGCAAAACCGUAAACCCGUGUUUUCCCGCCAUAAUCGCAUAACCAUGUUAUAGGAAACGUGGUUUUAUGUUUUCUUUUAAAUAUUUUAAUCAAAAAUUGAAUUUAAGUAGAAUAUUAGUUUUAAAUAUAUUUAAUAUUUUGCUCUUUUAAAAAAAAAAAAAAAAAAAAAAAAAAAAAAAAAAAAAAAAAAAAAAUUUUUUGGCCCUUUUUUUUAAUUUUUGGAAAAAUAAAAUUUUUAAAAAAAAAAACCAAAAAAAAAAAAAAACAAAAUGGGCUUAAAAGGAGUCCCCUUUUUUUUGGGGAAAACCCCUUUUAAAAAAGGGUUUAAAUGGGGGAACCCCUUUAACCCCCUUUAAAAUUUUUUUCUAAAAGGGGUUNNNNNNNNNNNNNNNNNNNNNNNNNNNNNNNNNNNNNNNNNNNNNNNNNNNNNNNNNNNNNNNNNNNNNNNNNNNNNNNNNNNNNNNNNNNNNNNNNNNNUAAUGAGUACCAUUAUUGUAGAAAAUCCAUUUAUAAUGGAUUAAUUGGGGUAACCCAUUUAACCCCAUUUAACAUUUUUUCUUAAAUGGGUUUAAUUGGGCUAAAUUUUUGUACAUACCCAUUUAUUAAAUGGGGUUCCAUGUCCAAAUUAACAUCACUACCCUUGACUAUGGUUCUUGCAAGAAUGGCAUAAUAAUGGUCGAGAAAUAUUUUACAUUUGCGAAGAAUUUGAACCUUCGUUCCCCAUUGAAAGAAAUAUUGACCGGCCAGUUUUCACCACAUACACAUUCAAUAUGAAAAGUGUUGAAGCAAAGUUUCUUUUAGGCACGGGCCAGAAGCGACUCAAAUUCAAAAACCGGACCUUGUUUGAUUUUUUUUUUGAAUAGAGACCUUGUUUGAAUUAUAGUAUAACCUAUAUUGUUCUUCUUUAAACUAUAUAACAACGUUUUUCCGUGAUUCCUCAAGUAAGCCUUUGAUGAAUUAUCGGAGACUGAAUCACAAACAUACUAAUUAAAGCCCUAAAACACACAUACGAAGAAAAUCUCGAUUAGCUUCUUGUCAAGAGAAAAGGAAAACUAAAUCAGUGUGACCAAUCACGUUAUAUAUUUUCACUUUUAUAUUCGCUUAAUGUUUACUUUUACACUAAAAUAUAUCUUAUGGUGUCAAUGUAAAAGCUACAAGCAAUUCCGAUGAUGCCAUUACAGUAUUCGCAAAGUAAAAUGAAAUUUCAGGUCACACUAAAUCACCAUUUUAUGUUUUCUCAAUGGUCUGUGUCUAAAGCUUUCAAAGGACACGUAUUCAUUAUACGUACGUGAUUAUACAAUGUGUUAUCCAAUAAACGUAGAUGAGUAAGUGGUCCCUUUUUGGUCGGAGAAAUGGUCAAAGAACGAAAGGACCUAGGCUUUUUUUUUCUUUCUUUUUUUUUUUACUAAAAUCAUAUAGUCACAGUCACAGUCACAGAGCUCCAAAACGGAGUUUUGUUCGCCGUUAUUAAUCGACGUGGCUCAAACACCGUCACAAGAAAAUACAACUGGGAGGGUAACUCCUCAGCCGACGCGCUUAGAGUGACUGUCAGUCACCUUCACAUAUAUGACAGCACCACGUGUCGCGUGGAUCGGACUUUCGGAUCCUAGUAUGGUAGCCUCCAACAUUAAAUUGGUAACGUAAAAAGGUUUGCAAAUUUGCAAUCCUCAAUUGAAGAAACAUCUAUUUAUGGGAGAGAUGUGUAAAUGAAUACAACAUGAAUGCAGAGUUGUGCGUGGUGACAUGACACGAGUGUAAUAUGGUUGAGUGGGGCUAAAUGUAGUUAGUGUUAAGAAAAGGGCUCUAUUGAAACUAUUCAACUUAAAAAACAAAAUUAUGAAAUAAGGAUUUGAAUUUCUGUUAAACGAUAAAUGAUUUAUGCUUUGUGAUAUUUUUUGAAAUUAAUAUCAUAGAUUGAUUAGUUCUAUUAAACGUCAGAAAUUAGAUGGUAUCAACGACUUGAAACUUUUUAGAUUUUUUAUUCAUACGUUGUUAAAAAAGUAGACGCUACGAAAGAUUAAGUUGAAUUGUCGUUUUUUCUUUCUAAAAAAUCAUUUUUUGUGUGUGCGGAAAUCACAGAAUAAAUCACUUUGCAAAUUUGUUAAAAUUCCAAUAUAUAUGUAAGAAGAAAAAAACGUCAACUACUUUGGAAUUUUUUGAGUGAAUAUUUUUGGAAUUUAACCAGUGUUGUUAACUCGCACAUCCCAAUAUAGUAUCCGGCGUUUUGAUGGGAAAAAAAAUAACACAAACACCAACGCAUAAAUCCAAAAGCCGUUCUACGUAACGUAAGUCAUAAUAGUAAAAAAAAUAUAAAAUGUUAAAAGAGAUUUCAAAUGUUUUCUACUGGUCCUUGUAGGUCCAUUUUCGCCGUCCGUGUUCCAAAUUCAAUCUUCAUUAUCCCAAAAAAAGGAGAAAGAGUUAAAGUUAUUAUAUCCGUCCACGUGGUAACGAUGACGACUCCAGCCGUUGGAUCUGAGACCAUAGUGCUUAACUGUUUUAUACGUUUUUUGAUCACAAAGUUGGCGACAAGAAUCAAAUCCAAAUCUCAUCCUUCCUUUGUCUCUCAUUAUGAAGCCGCCCUUCUUAUCUUUAACAUAUACCAUUCUAAAUCGCAUAUACUAUCUACUUAAGCAAGAGUCUUAACUAUUUGUUAGAUACGUAAUUAGUCUUUGGAGUUAAAAGUUUGAUGCAAACACACAAAAGUCAAAAGUUAAAAAGCAGUCCAAACUGUGAAAAUGACGUAAGCGUAAAGAAGUAUUAUUCUAACGUACGCCGCAGCCAGAGAAGAUGGGUCCGGUCCUCCCACGAUUGGUGCGUGUCUUCACGACACUUGGACCAUUGUCAUUUUCAAGCCGACGCCGAUACUCAUAACUAUUUUUAGUCUUAUAAUAAUAAUACAAAUAACAUUAUCAUUCUUUUAUCUAUUUCCUACACACGACCCCCCUAAAAAAAAGCUCUAUAAUAAUUUAUCUUUCUGUUUUUCCUAUAUUCUUGAAUUAUGAAUGAUAUUAUUCAUAAAUUAGAUGAGAAAUCAGUUGCAAAGAAAAGAAAAGAAACAACAAAAACUGAAAGAUCUUCUUAUGUUACGUCGAUUAUAUUAUAGGGUUUGAUAAUAAUAUAUACAUAACGACUUUUUUUCCAUGGCAGCUAAAAAUUAUAUUUUAGCUUUUCUCCACUUUCUUCUAAAAAACGGAUAAUAUUUUUUUUCUUAAGCUGAAAAAGAAAACGUUAUUGUUUUUUCUAAAGAAACGACAUAAGAAAGAAAAAAAACUCACGGCCUAUUCCGCCGGGGGAGCUAAGUUAAGAUCCAGAUCUAACGGCUGAGAUAUCUUCCCAGCUCCACCUUCGAAAUCAAGGACCGACGACGUUUCAGACUCGCUCUGGACACCACACGCCGUCAUCUUCCUCGGAUACGCCGUCAUGUUAAAGUAGUAAAUCGGACGUACAAGCGGGAUCUUACGACGACACGCGCCGCCGCCUAAGCUGAGCUCGAGCUGCGGAGGUGUUACAAACCUUGGCGCCGUGGGAGAGGUAGAGUCGAUGACGGUGCUACUCUGAGUAGGACUACCAACGAAAACACCCUCCGUUUUCCCGUUGAGUUCAAGAAACGUCGGGAAAUUGGUCUUAGCCUUCGAACCACGAAAGUCACGCGCUGCUGCGUCGUAAGCACGCGCCGCCUGCUGAGCGGUAUCGAACGUACCGAGCCAGACCCGAGUUUUCUUAACUGGAUCUCGGAUCUCAGCGGCGUAUCUUCCCCAUGGACGUUUCCUAACGCCUCUGUAACGAAUCUCUUUCGCAGCAUUACUCUCAUGACGAGUCGGGUUCGUUGGAGCAACCGGGUCGGGUUUCGAACCCAUGAUGAAUGAUAGGACGGGAGAAGAAAUGAACGAGAAGAUCGGUGAAAGAGUUUUGUGGUAAUGAGAAGAAGAAGAAGAAGAGCUUCUUUUUAUAGGAGGAGAUUGAGAGUAAAGCAACGCUCCUUUUGGGGAGCUUUCUUGUGAACAGUCAAAGCCAUUUUGAGAGAUGGUUUAAUUAUCUUUCUCUGAUGCUUCUCUUAUUAUUACAUAUAAAACCGGGUUUUGUUAAUAUAUCCACUUAUGUUUAGCCACGUGUGCACUUCUCUUCCUACAAAGAAUCUUACUUUUUAGUUUUUACCCUUUCUAUAGCCAGACUUCUUUUUUUCUUCCUUGAAACAAAGACUGCACAAAUUACAAUCUUAUAAAUUAAGUUACUGGCUAUUAAGAAUAUAUUUCAAAUUGGUUGAUGUUUCAUUAAUCCCUAUUAUUAAAAGAGUUAAUUAAAAAAAAACCAUUAAACGUAUAAUGUCUUUCGCAUUAGGCACUUCUCAUUAUGCCCUUCGUAUUUAGGUACUCUAACUUUUUUAGAUUACGCUUUUGCCCUUCUCCACACUACGUCAUUCUCGCCUUCUGUUUUCUCCUCCGUUUAGAAACGACAAAUUCGCAAUCGAGGGUUUACUGUAACAAAAACCUCACUUUUUCUACGUUGUCUGUGUUCUCGAUCCGUUUUGAUGGUUAGCACCUGGAGUAAGAGAGCUGAGGAAGCUGCCGCAUUUUUCGGUUCCCAAUCGGCCGUGUCCCCAAAAAUGAAAAAGGCUAAAGCUGUUCAUAACUCGCUGGCAGAAGAAUCUCGUUGUCGGAAUACAAUUCCAGGUUAAAUCCGAAGUUUUAGUUUUUCAAUUUGCAAUCUGUUGUAUUUCUGCUUUUCGGUUGAUGUGAUAAUCAAGUUGUCAAGGUUUUGAAAUGCUCAAAUCUAAAACUCCAUUUUUUUGCAGAUUCAUCAAAUAGCGAUACCACUGCUACUAUUGGUGAAGGUACUGUGCUCGUUUUUGCCCCCUUAAUGUGUUACUGUAAAAACACCUUUAUUCAUUCUGCUUUACAGUUUCUGGGAUUUUAAAUUUCAUAAGCUUUUGAAUUUUUUGUAUGUAAUAAUCAAUUUUCACGAAAUUUCAUGUAACACUAAAGGCUCUGAGAAUAGUUGUCGUCGUACUUUCCUCGUAUUUGCCUCUGUUUUUGUUUCGUACUGCUAACAUUUAUCCUGUUAUUUUUUGAUAUCUUCCGUUCUAUGAUGACUGUGCUAUAAAACAAGGGAUGUCAUACUUUUUGAUUAUAGGGACCACUCCUGUUGAUGUGUCUUCUUCACAGGCUCAAUCUGAAAGUACGUUAUAAAGACUCCUCUUUUAACUUUUUUUCCAUCAUCAGCUUAUUUUUUCUUAUUCAGUUUAUAUCUUUCAUCUAUUAUGUAUCUACAUUAUUGAAAUGCUGUUUUUAGAUCAUGUAUUUAUAUGUCCUUCCUUUUUUCUCUAAAGGCUCUUCUCCACGUUCACCCACCUCCACGUCAGGGUCUAACAUCGACAAAACUAUUACAUCUUCAAGUGAUAGCUUGUCAAGAAAGGAUGUACCUGAUUCUGCAGAUGGGGAAACUAGUGUUGCUGGGGUUUUAUCCUCUUCCACAGGUCUGUACGUUGGAUUUAGUGCUGCUUAUGGUGCUUUCCAAUAUUUACAUAUGUACCAAAAUCUGUUGUCCUUUCCUACACCUUAUAGAUGAGGAUAAAUUUGGAAAAGCUGAUGACCAAGUGUUGCCAAAGCGUUUCUUUUCUACUGAUCGCUACCCAACCCGAGGGAGAGCCAACUCAUACUCGAAGCCCCAGUAUCUUGUUGAUAUAUUAUCAGUUCUUGAUGGGACGCCAGAACUUGUAACCCUAAAGAGAUCGCCUUUCAGCUCGUUAUUUGAACUCCCGGUUCGGCGUUGCUCAUUGUCUGGUAAACUUGUACACAACUUUCUGUGUAGGCAAAUUGUUACAAAGAAUUCUGACGAGAUGUGGUUCACUUUUGGAGGCUAUCCGCUGAGAUUUUCUUUGUCUGAGUUCGAACAAAUAACUGGUUUACCUUGUGGUCCUUACCCUUCACCAGCAAAACUUGCUGUUGUGCAAACAGCUCCGGAAGAUUCAGAGCAUUACUGGUAUACUCUUCUUGGGAGGGAAGAUGAAUAUACAAUUGAGCAUAUUGUGAAUAUGCUCAAAGCUGAACCUGCCAUGCCAGGAUGGAAAAAAAUUCGUCUUUCGCUUAUAGUUAUUGUUGAAGGUGUUUUAAUAUGUGGGACUCAGCCUAUCCGUGCUUCCUUACCUAUUGUAGAAAUGGUUAGAAACCUAGAUACUUUCUACUCCUAUCCUUGGGGUCGACAUGCUUUUGACCAUACGCUUCGUAUGAUUAAAGUUGGGGAGAAAGUGAGGAACCACAACAUCCAGAUCAACAAGCUGCAACAAAAAACCUUGGUUAUCCAUGGAUUUCCAAUAGCUAUACAAUUGUUGCUGUUCCAGUCAAUACCCCUCCUCUUUCGUUAUUUGCCAUCAUCUAAGGAUGCCCAGACAUUUUAUGAUAUGAGUUUGUCUGUCUUACUGACCUUGAAGACGUAUCACACAAAUAACAUCUUACUAGUUGAAAACGACAAAGACGUGAGUACUUCUUGUGCUUUUAUAGGUUUAGGUUUUCUAACCCAAUUGUAACCUUGUUUUCUACUUUACUUGCAGCUGAUUGUUUCUCAAUCUGUGGUUUCCACUGAAGAGGACUGUGUCUCUGUUGGUGAUCCUAAAGUUUCCCAUUUGCUGAGUUUAAUUCGAAGAGGUUAUAGGUUUUCUAAGGGAGACUGGCGGGGUGGUGAUGCGUCACUAGGAAAGUUGUGCAUCUGUGAUAAAAAAAAAUAUUGUCGCUGCAACUGUGGACCUGAUUAUUCUCCGCCAAAUACAUGUACACCAGCUCCUGUGCUAGGACUUUUAUCUUCAAAUGCUGAUUCCGAAGCUAUUGCUAAACUAACAACAGAAGUUGCACAUCUUAAAAACACGUAUGCGGAGUUAUAUGUAAAGCUGAAAGCAGAUGUUGUUGUUGAGGUUAAAUCUUUUUUGGAGGCACGUACAUGUGGAAAUUGCAGCAGAAAUUGUGGUGUCGCAGCCUCGAGGGCGGAUUCGCUGUCUGCUGCUGUUGUAGAUACCCUUAAACCUGUUAGCAGUAGUAAACCAUUGGAAGAAGAAGAAAAUGUAGCUUUGCCUUCUGAAGUUAAAACUGGAAAACCCAAAGUCUUCUCUUCUGAUACAGGCCGCGUAUAUGGUUGCGUGGAAAAUUGUUCAAAGGUAUAUAAUUCCACGCUAACCCUGCACAUGGUUUUAUGUUACAUACAUUUGCUUCUUUUUAAUCAUCCAUUAUUCGUUUCUUUUACCUAAUUGAAUUUUGGUAUAGGAUGUCACUGUCACCCCUGAGAGUAGGCUGCAAACUGGAGAUCCCUCUUUCCAGCCGUCAGUGCGUGAAGAUGAUGUUCCUUCAAACCUGCAGGUAUAUGUUCACUUAUAUUUCAUGAAUGUUGAGAGUAGUACCUUUAAACUACGUUUUAAUUGACUCUUCCCCUGUACGGGUGGCUGAAUUGCCUCCACAGCUAGGUCAAAAAUAUUUAAAGCCUAUGAAAGGUAGAAAUAAGAGAGGAAUGAUUGCAAGUACCCGCUGUAACGUGAAUAAAUCCCCAAAGCGGCAGAAACAAGGGCUGCCAGGCCAUGUUGAUUACAUUCCCUUUCAUCCUGUUCCGCAACGGCUUAGCGCAACUUUUAAAAACCAGCUUUUGUCUUACCGCAAAUCGUGCGUUUCUAUAACAAUUUUUCCUUCCAUUACAUUAUGUGCAUCUACUCACUUCCUCUUUUCCAUUUGUUGUUUUACAGCACUUACGAUAUUGAUGGCUGUGAAGUUGGUAAAACCUUCUUUUCAGAUAUUUACACCCCACAAAAGUGGAUCUUCUCAACUGUGAGUUAUCUUCUUUGUCUAUGCCCUCAUCAUUCAGUAACUUAAUUUCUAUGUCCAUCUACUCUUUAACCCCAAUACAAAGUUUAUCUAAUAUGGUUUUUCUUUGCAAUUACUAGAUUGAUAUCUUUUAACAUCUUCUUUAACCCCUUCUCCACUAUCACCCUUGCAAAAAACCCUUUUCCAGUACUUGUUAUAUAUGUAUACCCUUUAUUUCAUCCUUUUGGUUGUGUUAUUCCACAUCUUCCUCAUGCAUUUUUUUUACGCACUGCUUUUUAACACGUUUCUUUACGUGACUUUGGUAUUUGCAUUUUUUUCCCCAGCAUAUGGCCUUGAUUCUUAGGACGUUCUGGCGAAAAAGAGGAUCGUACCUUGCUGCAAAGGAAAUAAUUCUACUUGACAGCUUGUUUACCCAGCUGCUUUGUUCUCAGUACUCUGACUUUGUCAACACAACUUCCCCCUCUGCCUUUCUUUGGGACCCUCUAGUUGCCAGCUACAUUGAAGGCACAGGUGGAGAUCAUACAGAGCGAACCACUUGGUUCAAGGAUGUUACCAUUGUAUAUGUGCCAAUGAAUUGGGGAAAUCGACAUUGGGUUGGUCUCGUAAUAUGCCUGAAAUCCUCCCACAUUGAUAUCCUUGAACCAUACUUGGAGUGUUCAUCUGACAAUGAGGUUGCAACAUAUAUGGAGCCGUUGGUUACAAUGCUGCCUCACCUGUUGAAGGCGUCAUGUCAUCCAACUGACAUUGGCGUUUUACUUGAUUCACCGUUCACCUAUCAUCGUGUUGAAGGUCUUCCGCAGAAUACAAAGACUGGAGAUUGUGGACCGUUUAUGAUGAAAUUAAUUGAAAUGCACUCCCAUAAUUUCUUAGUCGCGGAUAUGGGGCAUAUUUCUGAUGCUACGGUGGAUAUAUUUCGUAUGGACUAUGCGAUACGUGUUUACGAAGAAUUUAUUGGUAAGAUAGGUUUGUAAUGCCUUACUCUUAUAUCCCUAUAUGUCACCUAUGUUCAUCUGUAACUUAUGUACUGUUGUUUCGACAAAAAAAAAAAACUUAUGUACUGUUGUAAUGCUUAAUGUAUCUUCCGCUCUAAACUCACGGUAACUCCUUUGUAACAUAGAAGCUGUGGCUCUAUUGCUCUGAUCUUGAGGAGCAUUCUCUGUUCUGUAUGUAGCUCAUGUGAACUUCUGGCUAUUAUUAAUCAUUCAUAGUUAUAUUUAAGUUAAUAUAACUUCCACUUCAUCUGAAUAUUAUUCAUGAUUUCCACCACUUUGUCAUUUAAUUCCACUCCAACUUAUCUGCUCAUGUCUUUCUGUGCUUUAAAUGAAACCUUCAAAAUUCAUUUUGUCUCUUACCAUAUCUGCGUCACGUUCCCUUAUUUAAGAUGUUGUCAUUCCUCUGUCUCCUACACUUGUCCAAUCAUGUUAACACCACCCAAUUAGUUGCUUAACUUCCCCCGACUCACCCACUUUGUCAUAAAUAUCUCAUUACCAUAUAUGUCUUCUUAAGUGUGUUGUUGCAAGUGUCUAUAUAGGGUUCAUCAUCUCUUUGUAUUCAAACUGCUCCAACUUUUUCACUUUUCACAUAACGUUUAUUAAAAUGGAUAACUUGGUUGAUGAUGCUGCAAUCGAAAUCUAUCGUCGAGUUGCCGAGACAAGCUUCACGAUGCUUGCACCGUUGUUACUUGUUGGGAAAAAACAAAGCAAGCUUGCUUUUUCUGAUGCUGUCUUGUCUUCUCUCUCACUUCAUGAAUUCUUUAACAAUCCUGAGCUUGCAAAUGAAGGCUCUGCAUUUCGUUCAUUUUUCUUAAAGUGUGUUGCUGCUAACAACCCAGUUGCAAAUUACCUGGAGAGCCUCCGUAUUGUAGCGCAGCAUGGGGAUGUAAGCCAUGCUAUUGCCAUGCUUUAUUCAGCUGUCCCGGAGUCUGAUUACAUAAGUUUUGCCAGGGGUAUGUUUCUUAUUGUAGCCCAGUUUCCUUCUGAAGGUAUUGCAACUAUUUCCUCCUUGUUUAAUCGACUUGGGACUGUUGCACAAUUGGAUGCUAUUGGUACUGUUGUAUUCCGCCACCUUUCCAUCUUCCGUCCUUUUAGGAGAAGGCUUUUUUCUAACCUUCUGGUUCUAGACAGCAUUCCUGUUUGUGUUGGAAACGCGUGCAACUUGCAUAACCGAUGUCUUAACUGUUUUAUGUAUUGGUUCAUCAUCAGGUUGAACUUCGUGUUGUAGGUAUUUAUGUUCCAAAUAUGAUGUACUAUCAUGUGCUAUACUUUUCUUUAAUAUUUAUGUAAGAUUCUCCUACGUUCCCUGUUGUAAGCUAAUUUUGCUAUUAGUCUGGGCCGUUGAUGUAUUAUAUUAUGCGCCAAUAUAAAUGUAAAAUUUCUUAAUCAAUUUAGUUUGGGUUUAGUAGUCUAUAAGUAGGGUUUAGUUUACUGGUUGUUUCAUCUAUGUUAUGAGUUCCAAUAUAUUUUAUGUUACCUUACCCUUCACGUAAUUUUUUUUGUUUUUUUGGGUUUUACUUCUCCAUUACCUACGGUUUGGGAUCCUAUUUCUUAAUUCUGUAAUUUAUCGCAUAAGUACAUUUCAUAUGCUUCAUAUUUGGGUUUAUUAGUCCAUACAUAUGGAUUUGCUAUAUUUUGGUCACAACUUUGUUUUUCUUGUCCACUGUGUCCCAGUUUCCUUAGAAUCUAAGAAAUCAUUCUCUGCAUUGUGUUUGGGUUUAGUAGUCCAUACUUAGGGUAUAACUAUAUUUCCGGUUCUUCCAUGUACCACAUUAAUGAAAGAAAUUAUUUGGGUUUACUCCUAAUAUUGUUUAAUGCAUUGCUAUUUUGUUAGAGUCUAAGAAAUCAUUGUAUGCAUUGUGUUUGGGUUUAGUAGUCUAUACUUAGGGUAUAGCUAUAUUUUCGUUUCUUUGCUGUACCAAAUAAUUGAUAGACUUUAUAUGGGUUUACUACUAAUAUAUUUUCAUUCAUUGCAUCAUUUCAACAUCUGCUAUUGGAGUUAUAGCUGUCUUUUUUAAAUUUCAAUAUACAAGGUUGUUUUCAAAUUAGUGCAGGGCCAUUGUAAUUUAAAUAACUACUUUUAAGUUCUGUAGAGAUAUUAUAAAAACUGAGAGCAACCAACAAUCAUAAACAGGGAUAAUUAUACAUUACAGCCACUAGGCUUCGACAUUUAAAUAUUUUAUAGAGUACCAAGUCCCUAACACAAAGCAAUAGUAGACAUUAUAAGCAGAAAUAUAAAUAAUUCAGCAUAGUUGUCGGACUCUGUGAGAGUACCAAUAAGGUAGACAGUCGAAACAGACAUCAUUCAUGGUACAUGCAAAAUGAACACAGUUUGGUAUGUCUCCUUCUGGGUACCUAUAUGUACCAUCGUAAUUACCAGAGAGAGGGGGUUCGAGGUCCGCAAUUUGGGCCAUGACUGCUUCACCAAUCUCCACCAUUUCAUCCAACCAGGAGAUGUUCAAAGCUAGAAUAUGCAUAGCUAUCCUACCUUCUUCGUAGCGACCAGCACAAAUUGCAAAGAUUCCGUAUGCAAAUGCGGCAUAGACGAUGGGACGUUCGGCUCUGUGGAUCAACUCCAAACUCUCUAUUGAUGGACCAUAUUUUACCAACCGUCUUAGCCCUUCGACGUACAGGGCCGUCGCAUUUCCUGCAUCAAAGCAUUUCAUGAAAAAAGACCGAAAAGGCGUGCCUUCAUUUGAUAGGGAGCUCACGAAAAUAAACUCAUCGAGGUCGGCUUCAACUAAGACUUCUGAGGAAAAAACAGCAUUUUUUCCUUCCUUGCCACUGGCAAUGAAUGGUCCUAGCUCUCUGAAUCCAUGUCUUCCAAGCCUCUUUACAAUUUCUAUGAGUAUCUCUGGGGGAAAAUAAACCAUUUUCUCUCUAUCUCUCAGAAGAUUACUUAACUCCUAUUCUUAUACUCCUCUCUCUUCCUUAUUUUACGUUAUUUAUUACGAACCUAUUUCUGAUUUAGCUCAUCUACACUACUGCAUAAACCCACUAUCUUUCAGCUCUGCAUUGAAUAUCUAUUUAACCACUCCGCAACUACUCCCUGUUUAGACAUCUGUCAUUAGUGUUCUGUCUUUUCUUAUCUGUUUUUACUGAUUUUGUUUACAAAAUCCCUAUUAAAUGAUGUUUAGCUUGAGAUGAUGGACAAGAUAAGUCAGGUCUGUCGUUAGAGGAACCGCUUUUCACUAUCAUCGAAGUUCCAAGUGUUUCCACUUGGCGCCCUGUUUCAACCACCUUAAUUAAAGACACACUUCUUACUCCAUUACAACUCUUCCUUCUAUCUAUCUUUAGCUUCACGUAUUUCCUUAUACCAAUUCUCGUAAUGGUUCACAUUCCAGAAGAUUUACUUGUCAAUAUUAUUUCCCGCAUUGGGAAAUAUGGCUUUAGGUAUCUAGGUCCUCUCAUCGCUUCUACUAAGGAAACCAAAAAUACAGUUUUUUCUCCCCUUGUACUGCAGUGUGUGGAUCUUUCUGAGUUCAAGACGGAGAGUUCUAUGGUCCAGGUAGAGUCCAUUUACCGUCCCUUUUUCUCUGCUUGCAUUGAAGCAGGAAAUGUUGACGCCAAUCUGUUUGAGGGUUUACGUAUUCUUUGUCAAGAAGGGCCAACAGAGAGUGGUUUUGCAAUGGUUGCUAUGUCCCAUCCUGAUUCCAUAUCUGCAACAUUUGUCACUGGUGUCUUCCGCAUAUGUGCUGGUCAAUAUGAAUCUGGAAUUGAGACCAUUUCACACAUUUGGAAUCUCGUUCCUCGCUGGGAAGAUGUUGUUGUCGUUGCUGAUAUGGUUAUGGAGCAAAUUGUUAGAAUGGGGCCUGCUGGGGAUGGUAUUUACUUUAAUAGCUUCCACUACCCUGUUGACGAUAUCCCGCAUUGCACUUAUAUCCAUUGUGCCGCUGAUAAUGUUUGCAAAGACUGCUUUGGUUUCUGGUACUCGCUUAUCAUACGUUCUAUUUGCUAACCAUCUUUGUUUACCGAUCGUAUGUGUAAUAAUAAGCUUCAGUAUCUCAUGUUGACAUUCGGUAGAUCCUUAAGAUUGAAUUAGCUACCACUUGUAGUAUAUUAUGUACCAAAUUCUCUGUUUCUGUACCAAACAUUUCACGCUUUCUAUGUUUGUAAUAUAUCUUUUUUAUCUGCCAAUCUCCAUGUAAUAUAUUUAACCAGUUUGUAAUAUACUUGUAGUCAAGAGCUAACCGGCCAUCUCAUGUCUACAAGCCUCUGUCACUAUUUAUGGAGACUGGUGGGGUUUUACCAGAAGCAAACAUUGACAUUUCAGACGGGGGGCAGUACGACAUUCUCUGGACUACACCUUCGAUCUCUGUUGCAAACUCUUCCUCAAUACGUGUCUUAACUGCUGCAUAGCUCAUAUCCUCAGAAACCAUCACGCAUUGAGCAAGACAGUUUGUUUCCACAAUAAACUUCCACCAACCAUUAGUAGAGCAUUCCCAGUUUCCCACUAAAACGAGUAAGAGUGUCUCCUUACCCUGCAAUAUUGAUAAAUCCCAAAAUUAAUAUAUACCAUAGUAAGGAAAAUGAACACACAGAGUCUGGUAAGUAUCAUGUCUACCUGAUAGACCAUAAUAUUAAAAAUUUGUUCACCAUUUACUCUUACGUACCAUUCUCCUAACCACAGUCUAACCAUCCACUAUCAACCCAACUUAGGUUGUUUCGAGAAGCUACAAUUCCCUCCUACACUACAUUCGUUUGGUAUAAAAUACUGCCAGCCACUUCAUCACCCAAAACAACAAACAACAUUCUUUUCCACUUACCAUAUUUGCAGAUCCGUUAACCUCCGGCGAAUUCGUGUCGAUUAUCUCUAUCAUUCUUCCUUCGUUAGCUGUAUCACAGGACUUACUUCAACUCCUACUUCUCUUUACCUCUAUUUAUCUUAAUCGACAAACCCUAGAAACCAAACAACUUGGGGACAGUCAAUUUCUGUCCACAGAUGCACCAUAAAAACCAGCGUCGGCCUGUUCAUAAUUUACCUUACAGCCACAUAAUUUUUUAAUUAACUUAAUCUAUGGCUUAAUAUCAGUGACGUCAUCCUCCCACUCACGAUAGCUUGAGUUCGUUUCCCGCUCAUUGAGAUAAGGGCAAAAUCGUCCUACCAUCUACAGUUUUUAUAGAACUAUUUAUGUCCACAGUAAAUAAUGCCCAAAUCCGAAUCUGCCUGCUGAAAUGUGCCUAUUUUCACAAAUCUCCCAUUAUUAAAACUAUAAAACUUGUUUGUACUACAUUCCAUACUACAUUAAAACUAUAAAACUUGUUUGUACUACAUUCACAUUCAGACUGCACAAAUUACAAUCUUAUAAAUUAAGUUACUGGCUAUUAAGAAUAUAAUUCAAAUUGGUUGAUGUUUCAUUUAUCCCUAUUAUUAAAUCUAUAAAACUAGUUAUAUCGCCACUUUAUAAUAUUAAGUAAUUUUCUUAUUAAAAGCAAUGUAAUAUGCGGAUUUAAAUCUAUAUGAUGACAUACCGAUAAUACUAAUAUACACUACAAAACUAUAUGUUUUAGUUGGGGUCAUCAUCUAUAUAGCAGAAAAUAAAUAUUAUCAAACAAAAUUAACAUAUUUUUAAUUUAGUGGACCGUUAUAUAUGUUGUUACCGUAUCAACAUAUAUAUAUAUAUAUAUUUAUUACUUGCAUAUUAUAUUGUACAAAAAAAAUUAGCGAACAAAUUUUUGGGUUUGUAAAUUAGUAUACCGUUAUAUAUAUUUCGUUAAAGCAUCGACAAAAAAUAAAUAAAAUUGAAGAAAAUUAUUUGAAAUUUGUAAUUUAGCUAUGAUGGUACCAUGACGACAAAAAAAACAUAUAUAUACUAUACGCAAACCUAUUUGGUUCAAAGAGAAUAUUACCGAACUUGUAGUUUAGUGUACCGUUAGUCCGUUAUAGAUAUCGUUGAUGCGCCAACAUUAAAAAAAAAAAUCUACGAUGUGCAUGUCUAUCUGGUGAAAAGUAAAUACUCUCGAACAAAAUUGUCGGAAUUUUGUAUUUUAUUGGAUCUUAUAUAUGACGAUACCAUGACGGCAAAAAAACGCAUAUAUACUAUUUGCGUGUUUAUUUGGUGAAAAAAUAUCACCAAAAGAGAUUGUUAGAUUUAUAGCUAGCGAAUCAUUAUAUGUAUUUUUAACAUACCAAAAAAAGGAGAAAUCUACUACAGUAAAACCUCUAUAAAUUGGAUUAAAAAUGAAUAUCAUCAAACAAAAAUAUUUGAAUUUGGUUUUGUGGACAAAAAUAUAUGUCGUUACAUUGACGAAAACAAAAAUAUAUGCCGCUACAGUGACGACAAUAAAAAAGACAAACCGAUUAUUUACAUGCCCAUUUGGUCAAAAAAAAAGAAAGAGAAUACUAUCGAUUAUAUUUGUUGGAUUUUUGUAGUUUAGAAGACUUUUAUAUAUGUAGUCUAUUGUGUUACCAAUUAUAUAUGAUCAUAGUUAGAGUGAAGUAUAAUCUAGUCAAAUACAAGCACAACAAAAAACAAUUUUUUGUGCCAGCUUCAAACUUAAAUUAGAAAGUAACUUCUUGAUUGUCGCUCAUUCCAAAAGAGUAUAAUUUACAAAACUAAUGUCCUUCAAUUUUUCUUGGCUAAACGGGCUAAAUUAUGUGAUCUAAAAUUCAAUAGUCGAGGGUCAUAAAAUAAAAGAAAGAGAAAAAAAAUAUAUCAUAAAUACAACUCAUCCAAAAGAUUGUAAAAAUAUACUCUUCAAAAUACCGCGAUAAUCGUUACCCCGCGUAGUAUAGAUUGACUAUGGAUCGGGCCUUGAUACCGCGAUAUCAAAAAAAAAAUACCGCGAUAACUUGAUCAACUUUAAAAGUCCGUCUCAAACUUUGAUGUGUAAUAUUUCCUAACUUAUGACUUCAAUACUCAAUAUGUUUUCAGUGAUAUAAAGAAUCUCUUGUAUUAUUGAGUCAGUUUAAAUAAAAAUUGGUUUGGAACAAGAUUGAAGUUUUUGGAGCAAAAUCAAGAAAAAAUAUAAGAAAUGAAGGUGUCGAUCGAGAGCUGCUAUGUUGCAUCAAUCAACAGUCCGUUAAGAGGCAAGACAAGGUAAAACAAUUGUUGAAUAAAUUGAUCAACAAUUCAUCAUGCCAAAUCCAUUUUGUCGGCCGAAUCGAGCGAUACGAAAAGAGUAUUGAUCAACAGCCUCUUGAGCCUAACUAGGCCAAGACCUAUUGUCGUCCUAAUCGAUUGACAUCUCUAUGCAUGUUGAUUGUCAUACUCUUUAACCGAAAAGAGAAUUUUGAGUAUCUUUUUGUCUUGGAGUCUCCCUAUAUUGACAUAUAACCAACCCAUUUGAUCGAUUAUUUGGUAAAAAAAAAAAUACUAUCAUGUUUUGGUUUUUUUUUGUAGUUUAGAAGAAUGUUAUUACAGCAUACUACAAUGGCAAAUCAAGAUUAAAGGAAACUAAAAGAUAUUGCAGACCGCACAUUACCACCUUUUGAUGAUGAUUUUUAGUUAGUUCACUGAAAUCUCCUAUAAUUACCAUAUACCCGUUUGAAUAGAUUAUAUCCUUGUUAACAUUUUGCCAUUUCCAUACAAUUUAUCACCAAAUUAACAAGGUGAUCACCACAAACAAAAGAUAAGUAGACCUUAUUACCUUGAAACUAUUCGAAUAAAAAAACAUUUAAUUUGUCUUCAUUAUUGUCGAACAAAUCUAAACUACCACUAGAACGUAACCACUUAGUUCAACAGUAAAAACCUUAUUAAUUUCUUCAUAAAAUUAUAAACCUUGCAAGUUGCAAGUAAUAAAUUCAAGCUUUAAUUUGUCUCCGACAGAAAUAGUAUAUCUAGUUUAAAUUACUGCCACAAUUUCUUUAGAUGCCUUGCCGAAGAGUAUCUUAGUUCUUGACAAUAUUAACUCAAGUUUUUCAUGAUUCGGCUGGUGAAUUCGAAAUAAGCCGAUAUACCAUGUUUCCGAACCAUGUUUAUACGGUGUCAUAUCAACACUCCACUCUUUUUUUUUAGAAAUUACCAAUAUCGUCUUCAUAUCUUAGUUUCUUAUUCCUAAAAUAUUAUAAGUGUCCUGAUUUUGUAUCAUUCAGAUUUGAUAUUAGUUGGAAUUAAUGAACGGUAGUUGUGAAUAUAUUGUCAUAUGUUACAUCAUCAUUACGAAUAUUUGAUCUAAUAAUAUUAUGAUCUUAAAAAUAUAUUGAUCUAAUAAUGUUAUGAUCUUAAACUCUAGUAUCAAUCGAUUAAAGGCUAUUGUCAACAAAUAAUAUUCAUAAUAUUAUACCAAAAAUUUCAGAUAUGGUGCGAACUUCUUUUUUUUUUUUAAUAGCUACGAACUUUUUUUUUUGUUUUCUUUUGUCAACCAUUUUUGUUAAUUUAUUAAAAUUGUUUUUCUGAUGGAAAUAAAUUGGCGACAACAAGCAAGAAAUUAAAAGCUCUCACGAUUAAAGAGAAGCAGAUAUUGGCAUUAGAAUCUGGAAAAUUACGGACAACAACAACAACUUUAAAUUUAAUAACAACAACAAAGAAUCAGCGGCGCAUCAAAACAGCCGAGAGAAUUCUUCUGAAACGUGGCGCAAUCACGAGGACGCGCGGCUCAGGAACCGCGUUUUAAUGAAAACGCGUGACGAUCACGUCACAACGAAACCCGUUUCGACAAAAGAGCGUUAUAACGUUUUUUGAUGGUGACAUCAGCUACAUCAGCCGCCCCUAACGCUAAAACCCAAAAUCUCUACAUUAUUUUUUUAUGGAUUCUCUCAUGCCACGUGGAUAAAUGAAGACACGUGGAACAAGAUUAAAGGAUGAGACGCGCGUCGGUUAACCGCAAAUUUAACGGUGGUGGGACCACCGUCAAGUCCAUUCUUUUUCAGUUUCGUAAAGACGGAAUUUAAUUUGACGGCAGGAGAAGACCAAGACCGUGAGCGUGAGGUCAUUAUCUAUUUUUUUAUAAUAAAUUUUGUUGAUUAACUUUUUUUUUUUCUUAACGACUUGGUCAACAGUCGACACUUAACACCUAUAUUCUGUCUUUACGCCUUGAUUAAUGGAUUGGGUUAUCUUUUGUGUUUGUCCACAGAUUAAAUUGGUAAUUUACAAAAAAAAUUAAACAUCAUCAUUAUCAUUAGUCUAUGUUAAUUAUUCUAAAUUACGUCUAUAUCACGUUGAAUUCAGAAAAGUUCUUUUUCGUUUCCUAAAAGUAAAACUAUAAAACAGUUAGAUUUUAAUAAUAAAACCAUUGUCAUUAUCAAAAAAAUAAAAAUAAUAAUAAAACCAUUGAGAAUUUCAUGCAACGGAAGAUUGAAUUUACGUACUAUAAUUAUUCAACUACAAAAUGUCUCUACAUUUAAAUUAUUGAACCAGACAAAAGAAUCUUUGUGAGUAACACCACGUGGUCAGAAAAAAAUUGUAAGAGAGAUUUCGGGUUAAAAUUUACACUCAACCGAUAACUAAACCAUACAAGUGUUUCUAUAAAUUUGCUUCUCAACAAUUUUUUAUUUUUAAUCUAGAAACAAAUUUUUUUUUUAAUUCGAAAAAGCUCUUUUCUUUUGUAGUCCGGGUAUUAAAUUAAACUAGUUAAUCAAUUAAAGGAGUGAUAAUAUAAUAUCGUCAAUAUUUUUUUUAAUUUUUUUUUUUUAAAUAUCGUCAAUAUUAUACACUGGAGUUGGAUAUCAUAUGAUAUUAUAACCAAGUUAAUUCCGUUUCUUAAUCCAAAAAUAAGUAAGAAAAAUAAAACAAUUGGGUUAACUAUUAAACCUUUUGAGAGUUUCUGAAAACAGAGUCAAUACAUGAUUACAUGUUACCAUGACACGUGCUCAGUGGAUGUGCCUGAGCCGGCGAGGAUAAGUGAGAAAGAUGCUGCGAUGACUUUGCCACGGCGGCGAAUAUUCUUGUUUUUUUUCCGCUGGUUUUCAUGCAUGCAAACGUUUUUUUUUUUUUUUUAAAGGCUUUCAAUCAAAAUAAAUUUAUGCCCAAUGAGCUAUUUCCGGAUAUAGCCCAUACAAAAUUCCUUUGGGCCCAUCCCUAAUACAACAAACCGAACUAAAACCAACAAAACCAAAACCGACCCGGUUCACACAUCUGACCAAACCGGAUGCGAGAAACCCUAGCCUCCAACCGUAGAACACGAUUUGAGCCGCCGUCCAAACAGAUCUGCAGAUGCUCACCGGAACAGGACCUCCGGCGAGCCUGGACGACGCGAAUCGAAACGAAAUGGUGAUCCAAGAUCCGUUUUCCAUCUCGCCACCGAAGAGCCGUUUUGAGAAGGAGGAAGAGUACCGAGCUUUCUGAUGUCGAAAGAGACUCCUUGCUCAGACGUAAAAGAGAAAGGUAGUAGGGAGUAGUUAAAGUGACCUUCGACGGUGGCUUAGCUUCGCCGGAUCUGAGCCUACCUCCCCCAUCGAACCUCUAUCCCGUGAAACCUCCAGUAUCUCCAAUCACCUUAACUAACUAUCUUCCUCUCCGAGUCCUCGCAGGGAAAUCUCCCUCUUCCACUCCACGGAGCAACACCGUCGGUAGAGCUCUUACUGUUGGUGUCUCGUAGAAGCUUCUUCCCUCUGCUGCCCCCGAUUAUUUUGGUUAGAUGGAUUAGCCGGAGAGCUGUACCGGGUCACAGAUGAAGAGCCAUGAGCGUCAGGGUUCUCAUCGUCGCCGGAAUCGACAGAGAAACCCACCGUCGGCGCAAGAGCUUGUGCUCAGAAGAAGAAGAAGAUUGGGAGAGAAAAAAUCGCCGCGAGUGAGAUCCACGGACGCGAUUUCUCUCUCGAACAGUUGUUUUGUUAUUAAAAAAGAAAAAGAGGAAAGACUUUUUUUUUUUUUAAUGUAUGAAUUUGUUUUGUUGUAAAACAAAAAAAGCCAGAUUAUUAAUCUUGGACUAAAGUGUCUUCGCCAAUGUUUAUCCUAUUUUACACCGAGUUUGAAGCGCUUUCCUGGGUAAUGAGAUCUCUCACAUUAUUAUCUAUCUUUAAUAUUGUCUUUAAGAUAGAUUGCAAGGAGCUGACUCAGCUUUUAGACACUCAUGAUGAGUGUUUCGUUUUUACUUAGGAAUUAGAAGAAUUUUACUGCUUUAAAACUUGGUUUCCCUUAGUUUUUCUUAGUUUUCAUUCCACGUUUAAACAAUGUUUGUGCUGAUUGCUUUGUUAAGAAGGCAAGAGCAUGAAAUUUUAUUUUUUUCCAUGUAAACUCUUCAACACUGAAUUGGUUUUCUCCAAAAAAACCGACCGUUUCUAGUUUGAAUGGAUGAUUUCAUUUUGCCGUAAAAAAAAAAGAUUUAGGAAAUAUGUAGGUGUGUUUGGUUAGUAGUUUAAAGAGAAUGGAGAUAAUUAAGAAAAUUAGUGUUUGGCAAAUAUGAAAAGAGAAUUUUAAAAAAAAAUGCCGAAAAAAAUUGUGAACUUAGCACAUCAGCAACCAAAACCCUAAAAGUGAAUAUUUGACUAGUUCUAAUUAGUUAUCAUAUUGUUAAUAAGUUAGCUGUUUACUUGGUAAAUAUGCAAAGUGUGUAUAUGGUUCCUUGUACAGAUUACUGUUGAAUUAGUGAGAAGAUUACUCAGCUUUAUCCUUUCUUUCUCACUUCCUCGAGCUAGAUUUGAUAGAGAACGUAUCUUUGAGCUUUUAAUCUCUCUGUUAGCUUUCUAAUAACUAGCAUAUUAUAUUUAUCCUAAGUCUUGUAUACUUUCAGUCUCUUAAUGUAAAGAAAAAACAAUUUCUUUUCAUCAUCACCAAAUUACGCACUCUCUCUGUAGCUCAAUGUAUUACAAAAAAAAAAAAUGUGAAGUGCUAUUACAAUUAUUACAAUGGGAAAAAUGUCAUUAAAAUCCCCAACUUAUUCAAAACGUUGAUUUAAAUCCUCAACUCACGACGAAACGAAAUAAAUAUCAAACUUAUGUUGACUUUCCAAAUAAAUAUUAAACUUAUGUUGACUUUCCAAAUAAACACCAAACUUUCAUUGACUUGGCCAUAUUAGGCAUGACGUUAAGUGAGUUAACAGACAAUGUUAACAGGAUUAAUUUUCUGUUAACAGACCCGCUAAUUAAAAAUGACAGUAUUGUUGAACUAUAAUCAAAUCUCAUCUAAGUCAUAUAACCUAAAAUCGUAUUCCUAUAAGUUAGUUAUUUACGUAAGAGUCACGAAUGUACGUACGUAUAGUUGUGUCUGUUCGUAAAGUUGUGUCUUUUCGAUUAACACAUGUACGUAUACGUUGUUUCGUGUUGUAUAAGUAGAUCGAGUCAAACUCAAUAACAUCAUUGUUUGUAAUACAUUUUCUCUUAUCAGUAAAAAUCAAGUUUCUUCAUAUUCUAUUUUUCAUUUUGGUUUUGUUCUUCAUACUCUGUUAAAACAGAGUUCGUUUGUUGAUCAAAACACUAACAAGUAUUCCUUCUAAACAUAAAACGACGUUGUUUUGUAUUAACUGUUCAAUAAAAUCCCGAGUUUCAAAUCAUACUCUAUUUAGGGUUAGGGAUUUUGCUCGAUUUGGGGAUCUAAGAUUGACUUUAGGGAUUUAAUUCAAUCGUUACGACAAAACGACGUCGUUUUAUUGUUAUAUGAAACAAUGUCGUUAUCAAUUAACAUAUAUGUUAACAGAAAAUUACCUCCGUUUACGAGAUCUAUUAACUCACUUAACGUCGUACCUAAUAUGGCCAGGUCAACGGAAGUUUGAUAUUUAUUUGGAAAGUCAACAUAAGUAUGAUAUUUAUUUGGAAAGUCAACAUAAGUUUGAUAUUUAUUUCGUUUUGUCAUGAGUUGAGAAUUUAGUAACCCACUUAAUGUCGUACCUAAUAUGAUCAGGUCAACGGAAGUUUGAUAUUUAUUUGGAAAGUCAAUGAAAGUUUGGUGUUUAUUUGGAAAGUCAACAAAAGUUUAAUAUUUAUUUGGAAAGUCAACAUAAGUUUGAUAUUUAUUUUGUUUCGGCAUGAAUUGAGGAUUUAAAUCAACGUUUUGAAUAAGUUGGGGAUUUUAACGACAUUUUUCCCUUAUUACAAUACACAAAAUGGUUUAAGACAUAAACGAACAGAAGAAUAUCAAAAACUAGGGUUUGUUUGGGAAUCACCAGGGAGGUCCCAAGGCUCAGACAUGAGAAAGUGGGGUCAAUGACUGUUGAAGUGAUAGUGAUUGAUGAGUACUUCAUCUGUACGUAGGAUGAUUCUAGUUCCAUGCGGCAUUUAAAACAAAAUGUUUCCAAGAAACCCCAAAGAUAUGGAAUCUUUUUUUAGAAAAUGUACAACUCUUCGAAAGAUUUGUGUCUUAGAGAGAGAUUAAGGAGGAAGUACGUAUUUACUGAUAAAGAGUCAUGACAAUUCUUGAGGUAAUGAAUACAACAAAAACGAUAACAAAUUAAUAAAAAGAAUUUGGGGGUCUAAGAAAGAAAAAUGUGAUAUUGUUUGUUACCAAAAAAAAAAAAAAGAGUAUUUUGGCAAAGUAGAUACUUUUUCAAAAGUAAUUUACAAAGUAGAUAAUUUUUUAAAAAAUUAGAGAAGUAUACACUUUUUUUUUUUGCUUUUAUGAGAUAGGGAGAUAUGUGUAAUAAAUUAAAAAACAAAAUAAGUGUCAAAUACCACUAUACCCUUUGUGUUAUGAGAGAUAGUUUUUGGUAAGGGACCACAUUUUUUUUCUUUUCUCUUCAUCAUUUUUGUUCAUUCUUUUCUUUUUUAAUUAUUAAGAUUUUUUUUAAGAUUUUUUUUUAUUUAUUUGUAUAUUUUUUUAUCACUACUUUUAGUACACCUGUAUUUUAAGCAAUGUUUUGUACACCAAACUAUUUUGUAUAAGGAUAUUUAUAUAAGAUCUCGUAAACUAUUUAAUAUAUUGAUUUGUAUAUACCAUUAAAUCGAACAUGAGAGUAUAUACCAUUAAAUUAAAGUAAUAUGAUGGUGUACAUGAUUAAUGUACACUAACAUUUGUAUACUUGUUUGUAUAUUAAUAUCGUACACUAUCAUUUAAACAUUGUUUUUCACAUUAACAUUCACGAAAAAUGGUUCUUUGUUUCUAGACGUGGUGUAUAAAAUAUGUGAAGGUGUACGAUGUUGUAGACAGUGCAAAAUAUGGUAUAUGGUGCGACCCACUAUCUCAUUGUUUCAUGUAAACCAUUAAUAUCAUGUACACCACAUUUUACAUAAUUUUCGUACACCAUCGUAUUAUGUAGUUGCACACCACUAUACAGUGUCGUACACAAUCGUAUUAUGUAGUUAUACACCACUAUAGAGUAUCAUUUGUACACCAUCUUGUACAUUGUCAUAUAUUUUAUACUACUUUUUACAUCAAUGUUAUACACUACUAUUUGUACACCACUUUUUAUAUUAUUAUGUACAUCGUCGGAUUGAGAUUAAAUAAAAGAAAGUGUUAUAUAUCUUCGAAAUAUAGCAAAAUUAGACUUUUUAGAUUUAUAUAAAAAAUUUAAAGAUUAAUAUGCGAAGUAGGUAAUUUUUUUUAUGAAGAAGUUUUAGAAAAACAAAUUAAAAUCAAAAUAUUUAAGUUCAAAGAAGAAAUAAAAAAAUAAUAUUUCGACUAUAAAGCAGUUUUGUCUUUAUCUUGCUAUAUAACAAAACAAUAUAAAUUUAUAUAAGUAAUUUAUUAAAAUUUAUAGUAGAGAGAAAAUUGUAUUAGAAAGGAAUGAGAAAAAUAUAUAUUCUUCAUAUUUUUAAAAAAAAUACCUAAUUUAAAAUUAUUUAUAGAAAAAAAUGUCUACUUACCAUAAUUUCUAAAAAAAAAAUGGAUAUUAUUGUCUGAGCCAAUGCAUCACUGGAGAUUCUCAGGUGUCUUGCGUCACAUUUUUUUUUUGUCCUCUGAAGUUUUAUUAAUAAACCAAGAGAGUUACAAGAUGAAAUACAUAUGCCCGCGGACGACAUGAAUGUCUCCAGAAACAUUUGCCCAAAAGAGGGAAACAAAGCCCUAAAGUCAGUGUUCAAGAAAGCGCUAGGCGCUAAGCGGGCGGUGACCCAGUGCCUAGCGCAUAGAACGCCUAAUCGGAACCUAGGCGAUUUUUUAGGCGGUUUAGACGUUUAUAACAUAAAACAUUAUAAAUAUGAUAUUAUAUAUAAAAGUUAUAUAAAAUAUUUAUAUAAAACUAAAAAUUAUGAAAUUAUAAACAAAAACUAAAUAAAACAUUUAUUUAUAUUUGUAUUAAACAAUAUAUGAAUAUUUAUAACUAUAUAUAUAAAUAAAACUCUAAUUAAAUUGAAAAAAUACAUUAAACAAGUUCUAUGUAAUUUUAGGCGGUCAAGACGGUUAUCUAGGCGUCGCAUGAGAGCCUAGUGCCUAGUCGGAGCCUAGGCGACCGCCUAGACCGCUUUUUAGAACACUGCCUAAAGUACAAGGAAACUGUUUAAAACAAAACAUAGAAACAAAAAUCUAAAAAGGAAACAAACGUCAUGGAGAAAGAGCAAUCUAAGCACUAUAAUUAAACAAAGGCACGAGAGACGCUCACAAAGCUUCCCUAUAGAACCUGUAAACGCCAGAAGCACCAAUAAGACCGGAUAGACCUCACACCGAAGACAAACCAGAAGCAAACCGGCAGGGAGGAAAGCUAGAAUCUAAUGCGACCAGAGACACAAAUACAACCACCAACACACCACACCAUCAAAUCAGAGAGAGCAAGAAACACUAGGGUCAAGGCAAAACCUUGAAAUCGACCGGAGACAAACCACAAAAGCUCAACAAUUCUUACACGCGGACACUCGUCGAACCAGCUUCAGCCACCUACAGACAUAAAACUGACGACGUCCUCGCAAGAGAAGAACUAGAAAACGAAUCCACUGCUUCGACUAGAACCUAACUCCAAAACUUCCAAAGGAAACUCAAAGAGAGCCUAGUAGGUGACUUAGCAACAAAAUACCAUCAAAAUGGCUCACACCAAGAACGAACCUAGAGCAAAUCGCAACCCCUAACCAGCAAGAGGAAUCAAAGGAGAGGUAGAGCAAAGAUCCAAUUUCAAAAACCACAAACAGAGCCACCUCCAUCAAUUCAAGCCUCACAGACCACAACAAAACCUAAAAGAAACAACCUGAAACAAUUCCAUCUAACCCACGGAACUAGAAGGCUGGCUCACCGGACAAGAGAAACGGACGAAACCAUGGCCAUUGAUUCGCGAAAACCUCGCCCAAUCUUACCAGAAUCGAGCACCCGCCAGAUCGACAGAUCUCAGACACCCAACAACAACUCUCAGAGGAGACGCUGACCACCGACGAAGCCAACAAGCCUCGCCGAGAAGAUUCACCGUCACAGCCAAAGGAAAGCCUUUCUCCAUCGAAAUCUAUGAGCUAAACGAUCGAAAGAACUAACAACAAUAAUGAAGAAGAAGCUAAAGGACCCUCUCACGACAAUGGCGAGGAGCACCGGCCACCGGAAAGGACAAACGAAGAUCAGAAAUUGUUGAGAGAGGUUUUCGUCAAUUAGAUUUGGGUGAGGUGCCUUGCGUCACCUAUAAAGAAGAAAAGAAAAAGAGGAAGAGCAUACAGAUGCAUCAAAUCCAAGGAGACAAUCGCAUCAAGAAAUGGACGGACAGGAUCUCAACGAGUCGUAUGUGUCCCAAGGAAACAUCACAUUUGGAAGCAUAUAUCCGCAGGCUUUAACAUCAAAUCAAAAGCCCAUUCAAUUUUCCUUCACUCUCUGUAAUCUCUAUAGUACGAAUAGUUUUACGCUUAGUGCUUUAUUCCAUAUGACAGUGCCACAUUUUGAUUAAGGAAAUAAGUAAUGGAUCUUCAAACUGUAAUUAAAUAUUUAACCAACAUGGGACUGGAGAUUUUUUUUUUUUUUUUUUUUAACUAGCCAAAAUGUCCUGGAAUACUUUGUUUUGUUUAACCUUCUAAAUGUUCAACAUAACAUAUGGGAAAGACUGCAUGAUCACACACAAGCUAUUUUAAUAUGGUUUGUUACUUGGUACCAAAAGGAGUGAUUUAUUUUUGAAAGAAAUUAAUUAUUUGGUGUUGACAGAAUCGAAAAUAAUGGCCACGUUUGAAGAGGAUAAAGAUCUGGUAAACCGCAUUAUUAAACGUUCUUUCCUCUGUCCUGCAUCUGGUCCCACUUUGUUGAUCCAAUAUUGCUGGUCAAUGCAUGGCUAGAAAAAUUAAUUUCUGGUAAAUUGUUUAUGGAAUGUUACGAAGGGUUUAUCUAUUCUGGGAUGGUAUUGCAUAAAGGAGGUUCAUGUCAUCAUGUGCAAGGCAUCCAAGUUAUAUAACUGGGUGUUUAGAGUUAGCGAUAACGUAGUCUAUCUUUCUUUUCUUUCUUUUUUCAACUUAGUCUAUUUCUUUUUAUUUGGAGUUGGAAGCGUUAGUAUGGAGUAUGGACUAUGUCUUAUAGUUUGUCUCACCAUAUUGGACGUCAAAAAAUUUCAUACGGAUAAUUCAGAUUUUUUCAGUGACAUGCGUUUUCUAGUAGUUUAAAAUCUUUGGUGAUAUAUAUUCUAUUAUAAUAAAUCACAAGUCACUUCCUAUUAUAAUAAUCACAAGUCACUUUGCAAAUAACUGUAGUUUUCUCUAUUUGACACAUGUUUUAAAUGUCAAAUUCUACUUUUUUACUUUAAAAAAAAAAAACUAAUUUACGACAAAAAGAAAAAGAAAAAAAAAAAGAAAAAUUUAAAACUGUUUUUCUUCCCAAUCCCCACGAUCUCUACAAUAUCUUUUUCAAAAAUCUUUUUGACUCAAUAUAUAUACAAAAUACUGUUACACAAAUUUGUAACUAAUUGCUAAAAAAAUACAAUUUGUUAAUCAUUUGAGUAAAAAAUAAAUUGCUACACUGAUUUGGCCGCCUAAAAUAAGAACUAUUAAACUAGCAUUUAUAUAAAGUGCUAGACUGCUAGGUACGUUUCUUUUUCCUUUUUUUUUUUUUAUUACUUUUAUUUCACGUCGUUUAAGUGUUUGAAAAACUGUCGUUUAUCUACAGUUAGAAGUAGAAAGAUAACUUUUUUCUAUUGUAAUUCAUCUCCGAUUUAAGUUUUUACCACCUUGUGGUUGACAAAAAAAUUGGUUAAAAGAAAAUGGUCUAGUGGGUGCAUGUUGUUGUGUUGAUCUUUUACUAGUUAGUUGUGAUUAAAUAAUGCUUAUUAUGCGACUUGUAGUAUCACGUAAUGAUGAAAAUUUAAAAGGGAUAGGCCGUUCCUUUUCUGGGAGAUAGUUGCAUAUAUGAUUAUCCAAAUAUAUUAGGCCUUGGUAUUUUGGGUAUCUGUUUGGGUUCGAUUUAGAUUUUCCGGAUUUUUGGAUUUAAACUAUUAAAAGUUUAAAACUUAUUCGAAUAUUUUAUACUAGAUCAUCACCCGUACUAAAGUACGGGUUAAAUUUUAUUUAUUACAAAAUUUAUAUAAUAUAUAUAUUAAAACUAAGUUUUAAUAUAUUAUAAUAGUAAGUGAAAAAAUAUUAAUUUUUUUGUCAGUCCCUAUAUACAAUAUUAGAAUAAAUAUAUAAUUUUUUCUAUAAUACUCAAUUAUGGAUAAUUUUUUUUUUAAAGAUAUGAAAACGGAAAAUAAUUUUAUUUUUUAAAAAGUAAUAUUUUUUGAACAAUGAGUUAAUUUAUGUUAACAACCACAAAAUAGGAUUGCAUAUGUUCAGUUAGAUCAAAAAUUAAAAUAUCAUAAAUGAAUCGCAUAUAAAACAUAGAUUAUUUUGAAUUAAUUAAGAAAAUUAGCUAUUAUUUUGAAUUAAUUUAGAAAAUUCUUUUUCAAUUUAUAAUUCUUUGGUUGUUGAAAUAGAGAUUUGUUUAAGCUAAUCUAAUUACAGAAUUUGUUUGAGAUUUAUAAUUACGGAAUUUACCAAUUAUUCGCAUAAUCGAAUAUGUUAUAAACAUAUAUUUAGUAUAUAAUAAUACCAAAAUCAACCCGUGCGUGGAGUCUAUAUUUUUAUUUUAGAAUCUCAAUAUUUCAUUUUAAAAUAUUGUGUGCAUAAUCUAUUAUUCGUUAAUUCUAAAAUUGCUUGCGGAAUCAAAUUUUCAAAUAUUUAGAGGUGUCAAACCAUAUUUAAAUGUUCUACAUUAUUUUUAAAUAUUUCAAAUUAAAAUCUUUAAUUUUUUUUUGUAGUUUAUAAAAUUAUGAAUUUCAAAAAACAAAUUAUAUGAAAUUAAAUAUAACUAUUCAAAUAGUUAUAAGGAUCAAAACUCAUUUCAUCGUAUAAUAUAUUAUAUUUAACCCGCUACCUAUUAUAAAUAUUUUUAAAAAUAAUCAAAUUAGAGCAUUUAUAAUUUUUAACUUUUUGAACUAUUAAGUAUUAAUGAUAUUCUCUAAAAAUAUCAAGUAAAACUUAUUUUAAAUGUUGCAAAUUAAAAUAUUUAAAUUUUUAUUGUAGUAUAUAAAAUUAUACAUUUCAAAAAAAUAAAUGUAUGAAAUCGAAUAUAAAUAUUCAAAUUCUGACCCGUUGCUCAGUCGAAAUUUUUGUUGACUUUAUUUUUUUUGCUCAGUCGGAAUUUUUGUUGACUUUAUUUUUGUGUAAAAGAAAUAUAUUACUCAACUCUCAAUUUUUGACCCGUUUAAUUGUUUCCUUUAUAGAUUAAACAAUUUAUAUGCGUUUUUAAAAAUUCAAAUCUUGGCAUAUGCAGAAAAAGAAUUACUUUUUUUUAUUAUGUAGAUGAUAUGAUUAUUUAUUUGUUUCAUAUUAAUAUAAUCAUAUUAAGAUGAGAGGUGAAGUUUAAUGAUUAAUAACAAAUUAAUAUGGUAAGUUAGAUAUCAAAUCUUAUAUGUUCAUUUUGAUUGGUCAUUUAAAAAAAAUUAAUAACAGAUUUUCGUUUUAUAAUUUAAUUAAAUUAAUUAAAUGACAUAAAUUACUAAUUUACUUGUUUAUCCUUAAUAAAUUGAAUGAAAUUUGUUCUAAAAGAAGAUUUUUGUAAUGGCAUUAUUAAGUAAAUUCUUACAAAAGAGAAGGUUAGUUAAGGGUAUCUAAUAAAGUGUACUCCCCAAAUAAUAGUAUAGGAUGUUUAGAUCAGGUUCGGAUUUGGGUAUUCAAAAUAUCAAAAAAAUUUAAAAUAUUGGUUAGAUUUGAUUUUUUUUUUGUUAAAUUUGGAUAAACAUAAGUAAAAUUUCGGAUAUUUGAGCUAUUUUGAGUAUUUUGAUCAAAAAAUAUUUGAUUUUUUUGGAUUGAUAAUUAUAUUUCAGGUUUGGUUAAAACUACGUACUUAAAAGUAUCCAAAACUAUUCCAUAUUAUGUGAAUUACUCAAAAACUCCUAUAAAGAAAAACUCAAACUAUUUAAAAGUAUUCGAAUUAACUGAAAAUAUCCGUAAUAGAACUAUUCAAACUAUUUAAAAUACUCAAAAUUUAAUGAAAUACCACAAACUAUGUAAAAAGAGUUAAUAGGUUAGUUAGGUUAGAGUUAUUUCGGGUAUCCGUUUGGAUAUUUUGUCUACCCUUAAUAUAUACUACCAUUUCUAUUUCCUGAAUAAAAACUAUGUGUCGGUUAUCAUGCCGAAAACAACACACAUUUUACUCAGUCAGAAGUUUUAAGAACCUCUAGUUACCGUUAUUUGAAACCGAAGAGUUAACGCUCUAUGAGUAAACAAUAUAUUCGGACAUAAGUGAGAUCGAAGAAUAUUUUUCUUGAUAAAAAGUUAUCAAAGAAUUCACAUAACUAGAAAAAGCAGAAACACUUUUAUUGCUGAAAAUUCCAGAGAGCAAAUCAUGUAUAUCUAAAGCCUUACCUAGUGGGAGGAGAAACGCCCAACUGAUAUUAAUAUAUUAGGAAAUAUCUCAAUGUCAAUGUGACAUAAUACAAUGUUUAUAUUAUAUCAUUGUUUGCGGCUUAAGAUUAGCAGCAUCCUAUUAUGACAUUUUUUGACUAUUUAUCGUGUCAUUAAUACGUACAACGGUACAAGUAGGAUUAUUAUGAGUAUGAAACAUUCUUCAUUUUCACUAUUUUUGAAGAAAGAAGGAUGAGAUAUCAAAGUAAUGCUCGACUUUGCAGCAACACGCGAAAGAUUUGGCGUAUAACUACGGAAAAAGUGAACAUUGAGUAAUUGUCAUUGACCAAAUAUUUUGAGUACUUAAAGUCGUCACUUUUUAAUAAAUUUCAGUUUUAAUAAUAUCCACGUGAUUACAUACAAAAAUAAAACAAUCAACAAUCAAUCCAUAAUACAUUUAUAUAUUCAAUUCGUAUUAGAAUAUAUACUGAGUUUUGUGCAAAAAAACCCUCAAAGUCGCCAAUUUUUGCAACUUUACCCUCCACCUCCAAAAAAUACAAAAUAAUCUUAUGAAGUUCAAAAUAAUAGGCAAUAUAGCCCUUAUGUAUAUAUUUUAAACGUUUUCACGAUCACAUACAAUUGAUUUUUGAAAUUUUAAAAGUAGAAUUGAACUCGUCGUCUCGAGGGCUUCGAUUUGAUAUAUUAUCUAUCAAAAUUUUAAAAACUUGACAAUAACGAAAAAGGGCUAGAUUGCUUAUUAUUUUGGACUUCAUAGGAUUAUUCUGCAUUUUUGGAGAUGGCGACUUUGAGAAUUUUUAUCGGAAAAACGGUCUAUUUCCCCACAAGAAGUAUCACAUCAUAACAGAUAGAGCCCAAUCUAUGACCACGUGCUAGAUGUCCCCGAAAAAAUACUUCUCAACUUAUAUCCCCAUAAAUUCAUAGUUCAAAUCCUAUUUUUCCCUAAAAUAAAAGUUUUCAUCUUAUUUACACACAAACAUUGGUUUUGUUCGGUUUACUGACUGCUUACCAAACUAACGAAAAUACUAAACCGGAUUAAACCUAAUCUAAACCAAUUCUGACCCGAUUACAACUAAUUGAACCCGACCCAAGCAAACCCACGUUACCCACCCAACCCAACAUCCUUCUUCACCCGUAAGCCGUAACAUACCAAUUCUUCUUCUUUCUCUCCCGUAAUCUCUCUAUGUUCAUCUUCUAGCUUCACUCGCUCCCUUCGCCAUAGCUUAACCUUCCUUCAAAAGCUGUACUUAUGAAACCUAACCUAUCUCUCUCCUCUUCCAUGGAUUUUCUUAGAUCGGCGAAUCCUAUUUCCAGUUUUUUUUUUUUUAUGUAUUUAAAUCAGAAAUUUUUGCUUCUGUGUUCACCAUUUCUCUACAAAAUUGAUGGAUCUAUUCUCGAAAUUUUGAUUACAUUGUUUCAUCGUUGUUCAACAUGUUAUCAAAAAUUCAAAUUUCAUGUGAACAUGUUAACAAAAAUUUCCUUAAUUUUCUUUUGAUGAAGAUGAAUCACUUUGCAGUUCAACCAAACGUUUUUGCUACCACAACAAUUUGAGAAGCUUUGUUGCAGUUGUUGAAAAAGAUCAAACCACCGUUAUUUGCCCAAAUCACGUCGUAUUGGUCUCCGUGACAACUACCACCACCAUCCUUCUCGAUCUCUCCGCUGUUACUUCAUGUCUGAAUUCACUUUUGGAAUCCAUCCAUUCACUCAUCAAAUUCUCAAAUACGGGCAAUGGUAUCCACUAUCCAGUACGACUCCUCUGCGAAUCAGUCCACCAUUGACGCCUGCAAUCGUCACUACACAUCGUCUUUACCAUCUGCCAUGUCGUUUUCACUUCCGGCAACGAUUUCACCGCUAAGCUCCAUCUCUGAUCUGGCGUUGUUUAUGUGACGCAGAACGCAGUUCUUCUCGGUGAAAUUACUGGCGAAUGAGCGAUUUGUGGCCAUGGAUCGAAAUUCGUGGUGAGAUUUGACGAGAAGAAGAAUGUGAUAGUGAGCUGGAAUCAGACUGGAGCUUGCUUGUGGCCAAGGCUAUCUUUGAUUUUGACGUUUUCUCAUAUCCAAUUCACCAUUUUCAUGCUUCUUGUUCAGAAAGUGUUCCGCAAAAUGUAUACGAGCAGUUGUUAGCAUUCAAUUGAAAAUUGUAUCAGAUUUUACUUGAAUUUAAAUGACCCAAAUUCAUAAUUUUUGUUUCUUGGUCUAUGUGGCAUGUUCUUAAUGAGUUUCAUGGGUUGGGUGAAGAAGAAGAAGAAAUCGGGUAGGGUUUACAUUGGAUCUGAUUUUUAAUUUGGUUAUAUUGGUUUAUGUGGUUUUCUAUCGGAUUUAAUUUGUGAACCGAUUAAACCCAUAUUUGUGGAGAAAUAUGAUUCGAACUAUGAAUUUAUGGGGAUAUAAGUUGAGAAGUAUUUUUCCGAGGACAUCUAGCACGUGGUCAUAGAUUGGGCUCUAUCUGUUAUGAUGUGAUACUUUUCGUGGGGAAAUAGACCGUUUUUCCAUUUUUAUCAUAUUAUGUAUAUAGUAUGAUAGGGUCCCUAUCAUACUAUAUUUCGUUCUUAUCAGUAAAUUGAACGUGAACCACUUGUCAAGCAAUACAUAAACAUUGCGGCUUUUGACGGAGAUCCAGAACUCGUGAUUUUUUUUUUCUUUCUCUAUACUGAUUUUUUUUUUCUGGAAUCAAAUCUCUCUACUGAUUAGGAUACUGUAAUUAAUAAAAAUAUUUUGUAAUUGUUCUCCAAAAUACAUGUUUUAAAAUCUUUUUUAUUAUUAGACUUACUUACGACUAUUAUACUAAUGUAUAUAAACAGAGAAAUCACAUGGCUUGUGGACUGUCCUGACAGUGAUUAAUUAUUAUGCCUUCCCUUAAGCAAUCAUAGCUUUGUUGAACCUUAUUUUUCUUUUAGUUGUUGCCAAAAUUAUGUAUUUUUUAACCCACUUAGAUACCUCUACUUUCACAUAAGUUUCAUUAAUAUACCUUUACUCUAUUUAUACAGUUGACUCUUUUGCUCUAUAGUUGUAACUAUUUUAUUUUGUAAUAAGUUCCAAUUUCAGCAUUAUUUUUACCAGGAAAAUCCUUAAAAGAUUCUAUGCAAAAUCCAAUAUAUUCACUUCACAUAGAUAUAAUAAAAAAAAUUAUAAAAGAUAUAAUUGAAGAAAGGCUGCCCAUGUGGGCACUUCCAAAUAAAUCUCCAGAAUCGAUGCUUCAAAUACAUUGGAUGUUUACUAAACAACAUAUAUAUGAACAAACACACCCACGAAGGAAAAUCCGAAGACCCAAUCUUUGUUAUAAAACACAACUUCUCUCUUUUUAGAAUCUCUUGUCUUCUUCUUUUUACCUUUCUUCUUUUCUUUCUUUUGUAACCUCUUGUCUGAAAACGAAAUGGAUCAUGUGAGUUCAAGCGAUUUACUUAUUGAUGAUCUUCUUGAAGAUUACUGGUUCUUUGAGAACUUAAUUACAAGAAGGUCAAGAGGCUUAAGUUAUUGUCAUUCAGAUCCUUACCCUUCUUCUUCU